Molecule: long non-coding RNA, 50313 nt
Filed under: Capsicum annuum
Lineage: Eukaryota; Viridiplantae; Streptophyta; Magnoliopsida; Solanales; Solanaceae
Source: RNAcentral
CCCAAACCGCUAAAAAACCAUAAAGGCCCACACUAGGCCACUCCCCAGCCUGUUUGGGGAAGCCCGAUCGAUUUUUAGCUAAAAUCAUGCUCGGACCUCGAGCCCACCCAAAAAACAUGGGCUAUAGCAUACUGAUUUAGCCCAAAAAUGGCCCGUUCGCGCCGUUUCACCCGUUUACCACCCAAAUCAUCUAACAAACCAUAAAGGCCCACACUAGGCCGUUUCUCAGCCUGUUUGGGGCAGCCUGGUCAAUUUUUGGCCAAAAUCACCCCUGAUCCUCGAGGCCACCCCAAAAAAUAUUGGCUGUAGCACACCGAUUUGGCUCGAAAAUAGUCUUUUCGUGCCGCUUUGCCUAUUUGACCACCCAAACCACCCAAAAAACUACAAAGGCCCACACUAGGCCGCUCCCUAGCCUGUUUGUGCUGCCCGAUUGAUUUUUGGCCAAAAUCACAUUCGGCUCCCCGAUCCAACUUAAAAACCAUGAGAUAUAGCACAUCGAUUUAGUUUGAAAUUCGGCCGUUCGCGCCUUUUCGCCUGUUUGAUCAGCCAAACCGCCAAAAAAUCCACAAAGUCCCACACUAGGCCGCUCUUUAGCCUGUUUGGGGCAGCCCGAUCACUUUUUGGCUAAAAUCAUGCCCGACCCCCGGCCCACCCCAAAAAUUGUGGGCUAUUAUAGCACACCGAAUUGGCUAAAAAAUGGUACCUUUUUUUAGUUUUGCCCGUUUGACCACCCAAACCACCCAAAAAAUCACAAAUGCCCACACCAGGCCGCUCCCUAGCUUGUUUGGGCAGCCCGGUUAUUUUUUGUUAAAUCACGUCUGGCCUCGGAUGCAACCCAAAGAUCGUGGGCUAUAGCACACCGGUUUGACCUAAAAAUGGUCCGUUCGCGCUAUUUCGCCCGUUUGACCACCUAAACUGCCAAAAAAAAUCACAAACGCCCAAACAAGGCCGCUCCCCAUCUUGUUUGGGUAGCUCGAUCAAUUUUUUGCCUAAAUCAUGCCCGUCCCCCGGGCCCACCCCAAAAACCAUUGGCUAUAGCACACCGAUUUGGCCCAAAAAUAGCCUGUUCGCACUGUUUUGCCCGUUUAAUCACCCAAAUAGCCCAAAAAAUCACAAAGGCCCACACUAGGCCAGUCCUCAGUCUUUUUAGGAUAGCCCGGUGGAUUUUCUGACAAAAUCACGCCCGAUCCCCGGGACCACCCCAAAAACCGUGGGCUUAUAGCACACUAAUUUGGCCCAAAAAUGACCUAUUCAUGUCGAUCCCCAGCCUGUUUGGGGCAACCAAGUUGAUUUUUGUCCAAAAUCAUAUUUGGACCCCGGGACCAUCCCAAAAACCGUGGGCUAUAGUACAUCGAUUUGGCCUAAAAAUGGCCCGUUCGCGUCGUUUCACUUGUUUGACCACCCAAACCGCACAAAAAACCAUAAAGACCCACACUAAGCCGCUCCUCAGCCAGUUUGGGGCAUGCCGAUCAAUUAAUGGCCAAAAUCACGCCCGAACCCUGGACCCACCCCAAAAUGCGUAGGCUUAUAGCAAACCAAUUUGGCCCGUUCACGCCGUUUCUCCCAUUUGACCAUCCAAACCGUCCAAAAAAAUAUAAAGGCCCAUACUAGGCUGCUCCCCAGCUUGUUUGGGGCAGCCCAGUGGAUUUUUGGCCAAAACAAUGCCCGACCACCGAACACACCCCAAAAAGCGUGGGCUAUAGCAGACCGAUUUGGUCCGAAAAUUCCCUGUUUGUGUCGUUUCGCCCGUUUAUCCACCCAAAUGGCCACAAAAAUUCAAACGGACCACACUGGGAUGAUCCCCAACUUCCCUGGCAUGCCCAAGUUGAUUUUGGGCCCACAGCAUAUCCAGAACCCGGGCCCAACCCUGAAACCGUAGGCUAUAGCACACCGAUUUGGCCCAAAAAUGCCUUGUUCACGUCGUUUCGCCCAUUUAUCCACCCAAAUAGCCAUAAAAAUUUAAACGGACCAUUCUGUGACGAUCCCAACCUCCCUGACAUACUACGGUUGAUUUUCAGCUCACAGCACACCCGAACCUUGGGCCCACCUCUAAAACCAUGGGCUACAACACACUGAUUUGGCCCGAAAAUGCCCCAUUCGCUCUGUUUUGCCCGUUUGUCCACCCAAAUGGCCAUGAAAAUUUAAACGAACCAUACUGGGAUGAUUCCCAACCUCCCUGGCAUGCUACGAUCGAUUUUUGGCCCAUAGAACGCCUGAACCCCAGCCCACCCCUAAAAUCAUGGGCUUAGCACACCAAUUUGGCCCGAAAAUGCCCCAUUCGCGUUGUUUUGCCUGUUUGUCCACCCAAAUGGCCACAAAAAUUUUAACGAAUGACUCUGGGAUGAUCUCUAACCUCCCUGGCAUGACCCGAUCAAUUUUUGACCGACAGCAUGCCAUACUCCAGGCCCACCCCUGAAACCGUAGGCUAUAACAAACUGAUUUGGCCUGAAAAUACCUCGUUCGCGCUGUUUCGCCCGUUUGUCAACCCAAAUGGCCACAAAAAUUUAAAUGAACCACACUGGGACAAUCCCCAACCUCCUUGGCAUUCCCCGAUCAAUUUUCAGCCCACAACAUACCUGGAUCCUGAGCCCACCCCCGAAAUCGUGGGCUAUAGCAUAUCGAUUUGGCUCUAAAAUGCCCCGUUUAUGCCGUUUCACCUGUUUAUCCAUCCAAAGGGCCACAACAAUUUAAACAAACCAUAAUGGGAUAAUCCUAAUGUCCCUUGGGUGGACAAACGGGGGAAACGACGCGAAUGAGGCAUUUUCAGGCCAAAUCAGUGUGCUAUAGCCUACGGUUUCAGGGGUGGGCUCGGUGUCUAGGCGUGCUAUUGGUCAAAAAUCAAUUGGGGCGUGCCAGAGAGGUUGGGGAUCAUCCCUGUGUGGUCCGUUUAAUUUUUCAAGUCCAUUUGGAUGGACAAACAGGCAAAACGGUGCGAACGGGGUAUUUUUGGGGUGAAUUGGUUAGCUGUAGCCCAUAAUUUUGGGGAUGGGGCCCGGUGUUCGGGCGUGUAGUGGGUUGAAAACUGACUGGAGUGUGCCAGAGAGGUUGGGGAUCUUCCCAGUAUGAUCCAUUUAAAUUUUCUUGGCCAUUUGGGUGGACAAACAGGCAAAACGGCGUGAACGGGGCAUUUUUGGGCCAAAUCGGUGUGCUAUAGCUCAUGAUUUUGGGGGUGAGCCUGGGGUUCGAGCAUGCUGUGGGUCGAAAAUCGAUCAGAGCGUGCAAGGGAAGUUGGGAAUUAUCCUAGUGUGGUUCGUUUAAUUUUUCUUGGCCAUUUGGGAGGACAAACGGGCAAAACGGCACAAACGAGGCAUUUUUGGGCCAAAUUGGUGUGCUAUAGCCCACGGUUCAGGGGGUGGGAUUGAGGUUCGGGCAUGUUGGGGGUCGAAAAUCAACCGGGGCGUGCCAGGGAAGUUGGGGAUUAUCCCAGUGUGGUCCGUUUAAUUUUUCUUGGCCAUUAGGAUGGACAAAUGGGCGAAAUGGGGCAUUUUUGGGCCAAAUUGGUAUGCUACAGCCCACGGUUUUGGGGGUGGGCAGGGGUCCGAGCGUGCUGUGGGUAAAAAAUCGACCGGGGUGUGCCAGGGAGGAUGGGGUUUAUCCCAGUGUGGCAUAUUUAAUAUUUUGUGGCCAUUUGGGUGGACAAACGGGUGAAACGGCACGAACGGGGCAUUUUUUAACCAAAUCGGUGUGCUAUGGCCCACGGUUUCAGGGGUGGGCCCUGGGUCCGGGCAUGCUGUGGGCCAAAAAUCAACCGGGACGUGCCAGGGAGGUUGGGGAUCAUCCCAAUCUGGUCCGUUUAAUUUUUCGUGGCCAUUUGGGUGGACAAAUGGGCAAAACGGUGUGAACGCGACAUUUUUGGGCCAAAUCGGUGUGCUAUAGCACAUGGUUUUUGGGGUGGGUUUGGAGUCGGGGCGUGCUGUGGGCUAAAAAUUAACCAGGGAGGUUGGGGAUCGUUCUAGUGUGGUUCGUUUAAAUUUUCUUGGCCAUUUGAGUGGACUAACGAGAGAAACAAGGCAUUUUUGGGCCAAAUCGGUAUGCUAUAGCCCAUGGUUUUAGGUGUGGGCCUAGGGUCCAGGCGUGCUGUGGGUUAAAAAUUGAUCGAGGCGUGCCAGGGAGGUUGGGGAUCGUCCCAGUGUAGUCUGUUUAAAGUUUCGUGGCUAUUUGGGUGGACAAAUGGGUGAGCCUGCACGAAUGAGGCAUUUUUGGGCCAAAUCGGUGUGCUAUAGCUUACGAUUUUGGGGGUGAACCCCAGGUCCGGGCGUGCUGUGGGCCGAAAAUAGAUCGGGGUAUGCUAGGGAGGUUGGGGAUCGUCCCAGUCUGGUCCGUUUAAUUUUUCGUGGCCAUUUGGGUGGACAAACUGGCAAAACGGUGUGAACGCCGCAUUUUUGGGCCAAAUCGGCGUGCUAUUGCCCAUGAUUUUAGGGGUGGGUCUGGGGUCGGGGCAUACUGUGGGCCAAAAAUUGACCAGGGAGGUUGGGGAUCAUUCCAGUGUGGUCCGUUUAAAUUUCCGUGGCCAUUCGAGUGGACCAACGGGAGAAACAAUGCAUUUUCGGGCCAACUCGGUGUUCUAUAGCCCACAGUUUAGGGGGUGGGCUCGGGGUCUGAGAGUGGAAUGGGUUGUAAAUCGACCGAGGUAUGCCAGGGAGGUUGGGGAUCAUCCCAGUAUGGUCCGUUUAAUUUUUUUGUUGCUGUUCGGGUGGACAAACAGGCAUAACGGCGCGAACGGGGCAUUUUUGGGCCAAAUCGGUGUGCUACAGCUUACGGUUUUGGGGGUGAACCCCAGGUCCGAGCGUGCUGUGGGAUAAAAAUCGAUCGGGGCGUGCUAGGGAGGUCGGGGAUUGUCCCUGUGUGGUCCGUUUAAUUUUUUGUGGCUAUUUGGGUAGACACAUGGGCGAAACGGUGCGAAUGGGGCAUCUUUGGGCCAAAUCGGUGUGCUACAGGCUACGGUUUCAGGGGUGGGCCCAGGGUUCGGGUAUGCAGUGGGCCGAAAAUCGUCCGAGGUGUGCCAGGGAAGUUAAGGAUCAUACCAGUGUGGUUCGUUUAAUUUUUCAUUGCCAUUUAGAUGGACAAAGGGGCGAAAUGGGUCAUUUUUGAGUCAAAUCGAUGUGCUAUAGCGUACGGUUUUGGGGGCGGGCCUAGGCUCUGGGCGUGCUGUGGGCCAAAAUCAAUCGGGGCAUUCCAGGGAGGUUGGGGAUCAUCCCAGUGUUGUCCGUUUAAUUUUUCGUGGUGAUUUGUGUGGACAAACGGUCGAAAUGGGGCGAUCAGGGCAUUUUUGGGCCAAAUCGGUUUGCUAUAACCCACGGUUUCGGGGGUGGGCCUGGGGUCCGAGUGUGCUGUGGGCCAAAAAUCAAUCGGGACAUCCUAGGGACGUUGGGGAUCGUCCUAGUAUGGUCCGUUUAAUUUUCAUGGCCAUUUGGGUGGACAAACGGGCAAAAUGGUGCGAACGGGGCAUUUUCGUGCCAAAUCGAUGAGCUAUAGCCCACAAUUUCAGGGGUAGGUCUGGGGUCUGGGCAUGCUGUGGGCCAAAAAUUGAUCGGGGCAUGCUAGGGAGGUUGGGGAUCAUCCCAAUGUGGUUCAUUUGUUUUUUUGUUGCUUUUUGGGUGGACAAACGGGCAAAAUGGCGCGAAUGGGGCAUUUUUAGGCCAAAUCGGUGUGCUAUAGCGCACGGUUUUGAGGUGGGCUCAGGAUCCGGGCGUGCUGUACGCCAAAAAUCGAUUGGGGCGUGCCAGGGAGGUUGGGGAUCGUACUAGUGUGGUCCGUUUAGUUUUUUGUGACCAUUUAGGUGGACAAACAGGCGAAACGAUGUAAAAGAGGCAUUUUGGGCCAAGACGGUGUGCUAUAGCCCACAAUUUUGAGGGUGGGCCUGGGGUUCGGGCAUGCCGCAGGUCGAAAAUCAAUCGAGGCUUGCCAGGGAGGUUGGGGAUGGUCCUAGUGUAGUUCGUUUAAUUUUUUGUGGCCAUUUGGGUGGACAAAUGGGAAAAAUAGCACAAACGGGGUAUUUUCGAGCCAAAUCGGUGUGCUAUAGCCUACAGUUUUGGGGGUGGGCCCAUGGUUCGGGUCUGAUGUGGGCAAAAAAUUAAUCGAGGCGUGCCAGGGAGGUUAGGGAUCGUCACAGUGUGGUCCGUUUAAUUUUUCGUGGCCAUUUGGGUGGACAAUCGGGCAAAACGGCGUGAACGGGGCAUUUUCGGGCUAAAUCAGUGUGUUAUAGCCUACGAUUUUAGGGGUGGGCUCGGGGUUCGGGUAUGCAUUGGGCCAAAAAUCGACAAGGGUGUGCGAGGGAGGUUGGAAAUCAUCCUAGUGUGGUUCGUUUAAUUUUUAGUGGCCAUUUGGGUGGACAAACGGGCGAAACAGCGAAUAGGGCAUUUUCGAGCCAAAUUGCAGUGCAUAGCCCACGGUUUUAGGGUUGGGCCCGGGGUUCGGGCGUGCUGUGGGACAAAAAUCGACUGGGGUGUGCUAGGGAGGUUGGGGAUCCUCCCAAUUUUGUCUAUUUAAUUUUUCGUGGCCAUUUGGGUGGACAAUCGGACGAAAGGGUACAAACGGGGCAUUUUCUGGCCAAAUCAUUGUGCUAUAGCCCACGAUUUUGAGGUGGUUCUGGGGUCCGGGCUUGCUCUGGGUGAAAAAUCGACCGGGGCAUGCCAGAGAGGUUGGGGAUCAUCCCAGUGUGGCCUGUUUAAUUUUUAGUGGACAUUUGAGUGGACAAACGGGCAAAAUAGCGCGAACGUGUCAUUUUUGGGCCAAUUCAGGGUAUUAUAGGCUACGGUUUUGGGGGUGGACCUGGGGUCCGGGCGUGCUGUGGGCCAAAAAUUGACCUGGGUGUACCAGGGAGGUUGGGGAUCGUCCAGUGUGGUCCGUUUAAUUUUUCGUGGACAUUUGGAUGUAUAAACUAGCGAAACGGGGUUAAUGGGGUAUUUUUGGGCUAAAUUUUUGUGUUGUAUCCCACGGUUUCGGGGGUGGGCUCAGGGUUCGGGCAUGCUGUGAGCCAAAAAUUGAUUGGAGCAUGCCAGGGAGGUCGGGGAUCAUCCCAGGGUGAACGGGGUAUUUUCGAUCUAAAUCGGUGUUCUAUAGCCUACGGUUUCUGGGGUGGACCCAGGUCCGUGCGUGUUGUUGGUCAAAAAUUGAUCGGGGCAUGACAGAGAGGUUGGGGAUCGUCCCAGUGUGGUUUUUUAAGUUUUCGUGGCCAUUUUGUUGGACAAACGGGCGAAGCAGCACGAACGGGGCAUUUUGGGGUUAGUCGGUGUGCUAUACCCCAUGAUUUCUGGGGUUGGCCCGGGGUUUGGGCGUGCUGUGGGCCAAAAAUCAACUGGGGCGUGCCAGGGUGGUUGGGGAUCAUCCCAGUGUGGUAUGUUUAUUUUUUCGUGGCCAUUUGGGUGGACAAACGGGCAAAACGGCACGAACGGGGCAUUUUUAGGCCAAAUCGAUGUGCUAUAGCCCACGGUUUUAGGGUUGGGCUCGGGGUUCGGGCAUGCUAUGGGCCAAAAAUUGAUCGGGGCGUGCCAGGGAGGUUGGGGAUCAUCCAGUGUUGUCCGUUUAAUUUUUCGUGGCCAUUUGGGUGGACAAUCGGGCAAAACAGUGCGAACGGGGCAUUUUCGGGCCAAAUCGUUGUGCAAUAGCCCACGGUUUCGAGGUGGGCCUAGCCUUCGGGGGUUCUGUGGGCCGAAAAUCAACUGAGGCAUACCAGGGAGGUUGGGGAUCGUCCCAGUGUGGUCCGUUUAAUUUUUUGUGGCCAUUUGAGUGGACAAACUGGCGCAAAGGCGCGAAUGGGGUAUUUUCGGGGCCAAAUCGGUGUUCUGUAGACCAUAGUUUUGGAGGUGGUUCCGGGGGCCGGGUGUGCUGUGGGCUAAAAAUCAACCGGGUCAUACCAGGGAUGUUGGGGAUCAUCCCAGUGUGCUCCAUUUAAUUUUUUAUGGCCAUUUGGGUGAACAAACUGACGAAACAGCGUGAAUGAGGCAUUUUCGAGCAAAGUUGGUGUGCUAUAGUUCACAGUUUCGGGGUUGGGCUCGCGGUCUGGGCGUGCUGUGGGCUAAAAAUCAAUCGGGGCAUGCCAGGGAGGUUGGAGAUCAUCCCAGCAUGGUCCGUUUAAUUUUUCAUGGUCAUUCGAGUGGACAAAUAGGCGAAACGACACGAACGUGGCAUUUUUGGGCCAAAUCGGUGUGCUAUAGUCCACGUUUUUAGGGAUCGGCCCAGGGUCUAGGUGUGCUGUGGGCCGAAAAUUGACUGGGAUGUGCCUGGGAGGUUGGGGAUCAUCCUAGUGUGGUUCGUUUAAUUUUUUGGGGCCAUUUGGGUGGACAAACAGGCGAAACGGAAAGAACGGGGCAUUCUCGACCCAAAUCGGUUUGCUAUAGCCUACGAUUUUUAGGGUGGGCUCGGGGUUUGGGCGUGCUAUCGGUCAAAAAUUGAUCGGGGCGUGCUAGGGAGGUUGGGGAUCGUCCUGUUUGGUCUAUUUAAUUUUUUGUGGCCAUUUGGGUGGAAAAGCGGGCAAAAUGGCAAGAACAGGGAGUUUUUGGGCCAAAUCGCUGAGCUAUAGCCCACGGUUUCAGGGGUAGGCCCGGGGUCCGAGCCUGCUGUGGGCUAAAAAUUGAUCCGACAUGCCAGAGAGGUUGGGGAUCAUUCCAGUGUGGUCCUUUUAAUGUUUCGUUGCUAUUUGGGUGGACGAACGGGAGAAACGACGGGAAUGGGGAAUUUUCGGGCCAAAUCAAUGUGCUAUAGCCCAUGGUUUUGGGGUGGGCCUGAGGUCAGGGCGUGCUGUCGGACGAAAAUCCAUCGGAGCAUGUCAGGGAGGUUGGGGAUCGUCCCAGUUUGGUUCAUUUAAUUUUUCAUGGCCAUUUGGGUGGAGGAAUGGGAGAAACAGCGUGAACAGGGAAUUUUUGUGCCAAAUCGGUGUGCUAUAGCCCACGGUUUCAAGGAUGGGCCCGGGGUCCGGGCGUGCUGUGGGCCUUAAAUAGAUCAGGGCAUGCCAGGGAGGUUGGGAUUGUUCGAGUGUGGUCCGUUUAAUUUUUCAUGGCCAUUUGGGUGGACAAACGGGCGAAACGGGGCAUUUUCUACCCAAAUCGGUGUGCUAUAGCCCAUGGUUUCAGGGGUGGCCCGGGGUUCGGGUGUGUUGUGGGUCAAAAAUCGAUUGAGGCAUCCCGGGGAGGUUGGGGAUCAUCCCAGUGUGGUCCUUUUAAUUUUUUGUGGCCAUUUGGGUGGACAAAGUGGGGAAAAGGCGCGAAUGGGGUAUUUUCGAGGCCAAAUAGGUGUUCUAUAGACCAAAAUUUUGGAGGUGGGUCCGGGGGCCGGGCGUGCUGUGGGCUGAAAAUCGAUCGGGAAGUGCUAGGGAGGUUGAGGAUCGUCCCUGUGAGGUUCGUUUAAUUUUUCAGGGCCAUUAGGGUGGUGAAAUGGGUGAAACAGCGCGAAUAGGGCAUUCUCGGGCCAAAUCGGUGUGCUAUAGCCUACGAUUUCGGGGGUGGGCUCGGGGUUCGAGCGUGCUGUGGGCCUAAAAUUGGCUGGGGCAUGCCAGGGAGGUUGGGGAUCAUCCAUUAUGGUCUAUUUAUUUUUUCGUUGCCAUUUGGGUGGAAAAACGAGCAAAAUGGCGCGAACGGGGAGUUUUUAGGCCAAAUCGCUGAGCUAUAGCCCACGGUUUCUGGGGUAGGCCCGGGGUAUGGGCCUCCUGUGGGCUAAAAAUUGAUCCGACAUGCCAGAGAGGUUGGGGAUCAUCCCAGUGUGGUUCUUUUAAUUUUUCGUUGCCAUUUGGGUGGAGGAACGGGUGAAACGGGGCGAAUGGGGCAUUUUUGGGCCAAAUCAGUGUGCUAUAGCCCAUGGUUUUGGGGUGGGCUCGAGGUCCGGGCGUGCUGUGGGAUGAAAAUGCAUCGGAGCGUGCCAAGGAGGUUGGGGAUCAUCCCAGUUUGGUUCAUUUAAUUUUUCGUGGCCAUUUGGGUGGAGAAAUGUGUGAAACAGCGCGAACGGGGAAUUUUCGUGCCAAAUUAGUGUGCUUUAGCCCACGGUUUUAAGGAUGGGCCCGGGGUCCAGGUGUGCUGUGGGCCUUAAAUAGAUCGGGGCGUACCAGGGAGGUUGGGGAUCGUCCGAGUGUGGUCCGUUUAAUUUUUUGUGGCCAUUUAGGUGGACAAACGGGCAAAAUGGGGCAUAUUUGAACCAAAUCAGUGUGCUAUAGCCCACGGUUUCGGGGGUGGCCCGGGGUUCGGGUGUGCUGUGGGUCAAAAAUCGACCGAGGCGUGCUGGGGAGGUUGGGGAUCAUCCCAUGGCUAUUUGGGUGGACAAACGGGCGAGACAGUAUGAACGAGGUAUUUUCGGGACAAAUCAAUAUGCCAUUUGGGUAGAUAAACAGGAAAAACGGCGUGAACAGGGCAUUUUCGGGCUAAAUCGGUGUGCUAUAGGCCACAAUUUAGGGGGUGGGCCCAGGGUCCGGGCGUUCUUUGGGCCGAAAGUUGACCGAGGCAUGCCAGGGAGGUUGAGGAUCAUCCCAGUAUAGUUUGUUUAAAUUUUCAUGGCCAUUUCGGUGGACAAACGGGCAAAACGGCACGAACAGGGCAUUUUUGGGCCAAAUCAAUCUGCUAUAGCCCUCGGUUUUAAGGGUGGGCUCGGGGUCUGGGCGUGUUGUGGGUCAAAAAUUGACUGGGGUAUGCCAGGGAGGUUGGGGAUCAUCCCAGUGUGGUCCGUUUAUUUUUUGUGGCUAUUUGGGUGGAUAAACUUGGCAAAAUAGCUCAAACAGGAAAUUUUGAGGCCAAAUCAGUGUGCUAUAACCCACAGUUUUGGGGGUGGGAAAGUGGUUCGAGCGUGCUGUGGGCCAAAAAUCGACCGGGGCAUGCCUGGGAAAUUAGGGAUCAUUCCAGUAUGGUCCGUUUUAAUUUUCAUGGCUAUUUGGAUGGACAAACGGGGGAAACUGCACGAACGAGGCAUUUUCAGGAUAAAUCAAUGCACUAUAUAGCCCACAGUUUCGGGAGUAAGCUCGGGUUUCGAGCGUGCUGUGGGCUAAAAAUUGAUCAGGACAUGCCAGAGAGGUUGGGUAUCAUCCCAGUGUGGUCCGUUUAAAUUUUCGUGGCCAUUUGGGUGGAUAAACAGGUGAAACGGCACGAAUGGGGCAUUUUUGAGCUAAAUCAGUGUGCUAUUGGACCUAGGGUUCAAGCGUUUCGGGGUAUGCCAGGGAGGUUUGGGAUCAUCCCCGUGUGGUCCGUUGAAAUUUUUAUGGCCAUUUGGAUGGACAAACGGGCAAAACAGCGCGAUCGGGGCAUUUUCGUGUCAAAUGGGUGUGCUAUAGCCCACAGUUUUGGGGAUGGGCUUGGGGUCCGGGCGUGCUGUGGGCCAAAAAUAAAUCGAGGUAUGCCAGGGAGAUUGGGAAUCAUCCCAGUGUGGUCCGUUUAAAUUUUCGUGGCCAUUUGGUUGGACAAACAUGCUAAACAGCGUGGACAUAGCAUUUUUGAGCUAAAUCGAUAUGUUAUAGCCCACGGUUUUAGGGGUGAGCCUAGGGUCCGAGCGUGCUGUGGGCCAAAAGUUUAUCGAGGUAUGCCAGAGAGGUUUGGGAUCUUCCCAGUGUGGUCCGUUUAAAUUUUUUGGCCAUUUGGGUGGACAAACGGGCUAAACAGCAUGAAUGGGACAUUUUAGGGAAAAAUCGGUGUACUAUAGCCCACGAUUUCAGGGUUGGGCCCGGGUUUCGAGCGUGCUGUAGGUCAAAAAUCUACUAGGGCAUGCCAAGGAGGGUGGGGAUCAUCCCAGUGUGGUCCGUUUAAAUUUUUAUGGCCAUUUGGGUGGACAAAUGGCUGAAACGGCGCGAAUGGGGCAUUUUUAGGCCAAAUCGAUGUGCUAUAGCCCACAGUUUCAGAGGUGGGCUCGGGGUCCGGGCAUGCUAUGGUCCAAAAAUUAAUUGGGGAAUGCCAGGGAAGUUUGGAUUCGUUCCAAUUUGGUCCGGUUAAAUUUUCGUGUCUAUUUGUGUCGACAAACGGGUGAAACGGCGCGAGCUGGGCAUUUUAGGUACAAAUCGAUGUGCUAUAGUCCACGAUUUCAGGGGUGGGCCUGGGUUCUUGGUGUGUUGUAGGCUGAAAAUUGACUGGGGCAUGCCAAGGAGGUUGGGCAUCAUCUUAGUGUGGUCUUUUUAAAUUUUUGUGGCCAUUUGAGUGGACAAAUAGGUUAAACGGUGCGAGCCGGGCAUUUUCAUAUCAAAUCAGUGUGGUAUAGACCACAAUUUUAUAGUGGGCCCAAGGUCCGAGUGUACUGUGGGCUGAAAUCAACUAGGGCGUGCUAGGGAGAUUGAGGAUCAUCCUAGUAUGGUCCGUUUAAAUUUUUGUGGCCAUUUGGGUGGACAAACGGGCGAAACGGCAUGGAUGGGAGGUUUAUGGGCCAAAUCGCUGUGCUAUAGCCUACGGUUUUCGGGGUAGUCUCGGGGUCCAUGCGUGUUGUGGGCCAAAAAUCAAUCGGGGCGUGCCAGGGAGGUUGGGCAUCAUCCCAGUGUGGUCCGUUUAAAUUUUUAUGGCUUUUUGGGUGGACAAACUGGCAAAAAAGCAUGAACGGGGCAUUUUUAGGACUAAUCGGUGUGCUAUAGCCCACGGUUUUGGGGGUGGGCCCGGGGUUCGGGCGUUCUGUGGGUCAAAAAUUGACUAGGGUGUGUCAGGGAGGUUGGGGAUCAUCCCAGUGUGGUCUGUUUAAAUUUUCAUGGCCAUUUGGGUGGACAAACGAGCGAAACGGCAUGAACGGGGUAUUUUUGAGCUAAAUCGGUGUGCUAUAGCCCAUGGUUUCAAGGGUGGGUCAGGGUUUCAGGCGUGCUACGGGCUAAAAAUUGAUCGAGGUAUGCCAUGGAGGUUGGGGAUUAUCCUAGUGUAGUCCAUUUAAAUUUUUGUGGCCAUUUGAGUGGACAAACGAGCGAAACAACACGAAUGGGGCAUUUUUGAGCCAAAUCGGUGUACUAUAGCCCACGGUUUCUGGGGAAGGCCCUCGAUCCGGUCGUGUUGUAGGAUGAAUGUUGUUCCGUCUUGGGGCUGUUGCCCGGCAGUGUUGGUCUCAUGGCCCUGUAGAAAUUCUCUUGUCAGAAAAUCGGGAAGGGAAUUGUGUUCUCCUUUUAUGAAUUCAAUUUGAAAAUCAAAGCUAGACAGGAGAGCUUGCCAUCUAGCAAAUAUUUGUUUUGAAACGAGAUUUUUAACAUCUUUUUGUAAAAUCUCUUUGGCUGAUUUACAAUCAACUCUAAGAAGGAAUUCCUUAUUAAUAAGGUCAUCUUGGAAUUUAGUGAUACAUAGCACUAUAGAUAAAACUUCUUUUUUAACCGUACUGUAAUUCCUCUGGGCAGAAUUCCAGAUUCCUGAGGUAAAACGUACUAAUUGUUCUGACGAAUGUUCACUUAACUUUUGCUUCAGGAUACCUCCAUACCNNNNNNNNNNNNNNNNNNNNNNNNNNNNNNNNNNNNNNNNNNNNNNNNNNNNNNNNNNNNNNNNNNNNNNNNNNNNNNNNNNNNNNNNNNNNNNNNNNNNNNNNNNNNNNNNNNNNNNNNNNNNNNNNNNNNNNNNNNNNNNNNNNNNNNNNNNNNNNNNNNNNNNNNNNNNNNNNNNNNNNNNNNNNNNNNNNNNNNNNNNNNNNNNNNNNNNNNNNNNNNNNNNNNNNNNNNNNNNNNNNNNNNNNNNNNNNNNNNNNNNNNNNNNNNNNNNNNNNNNNNNNNNNNNNNNNNNNNNNNNNNNNNNNNNNNNNNNNNNNNNNNNNNNNNNNNNNNNNNNNNNNNNNNNNNNNNNNNNNNNNNNNNNNNNNNNNNNNNNNNNNNNNNNNNNNNNNNNNNNNNNNNNNNNNNNNNNNNNNNNNNNNNNNNNNNNNNNNNNNNNNNNNNNNNNNNNNNNNNNNNNNNNNNNNNNNNNNNNNNNNNNNNNNNNNNNNNNNNNNNNNNNNNNNNNNNNNNNNNNNNNNNNNNNNNNNNNNNNNNNNNNNNNNNNNNNNNNNNNNNNNNNNNNNNNNNNNNNNNNNNNNNNNNNNNNNNNNNNNNNNNNNNNNNNNNNNNNNNNNNNNNNNNNNNNNNNNNNNNNNNNNNNNNNNNNNNNNNNNNNNNNNNNNNNNNNNNNNNNNNNNNNNNNNNNNNNNNNNNNNNNNNNNNNNNNNNNNNNNNNNNNNNNNNNNNNNNNNNNNNNNNNNNNNNNNNNNNNNNNNNNNNNNNNNNNNNNNNNNNNNNNNNNNNNNNNNNNNNNNNNNNNNNNNNNNNNNNNNNNNNNNNNNNNNNNNNNNNNNNNNNNNNNNNNNNNNNNNNNNNNNNNNNNNNNNNNNNNNNNNNNNNNNNNNNNNNNNNNNNNNNNNNNNNNNNNNNNNNNNNNNNNNNNNNNNNNNNNNNNNNNNNNNNNNNNNNNNNNNNNNNNNNNNNNNNNNNNNNNNNNNNNNNNNNNNNNNNNNNNNNNNNNNNNNNNNNNNNNNNNNNNNNNNNNNNNNNNNNNNNNNNNNNNNNNNNNNNNNNNNNNNNNNNNNNNNNNNNNNNNNNNNNNNNNNNNNNNNNNNNNNNNNNNNNNNNNNNNNNNNNNNNNNNNNNNNNNNNNNNNNNNNNNNNNNNNNNNNNNNNNNNNNNNNNNNNNNNNNNNNNNNNNNNNNNNNNNNNNNNNNNNNNNNNNNNNNNNNNNNNNNNNNNNNNNNNNNNNNNNNNNNNNNNNNNNNNNNNNNNNNNNNNNNNNNNNNNNNNNNNNNNNNNNNNNNNNNNNNNNNNNNNNNNNNNNNNNNNNNNNNNNNNNNNNNNNNNNNNNNNNNNNNNNNNNNNNNNNNNNNNNNNNNNNNNNNNNNNNNNNNNNNNNNNNNNNNNNNNNNNNNNNNNNNNNNNNNNNNNNNNNNNNNNNNNNNNNNNNNNNNNNNNNNNNNNNNNNNNNNNNNNNNNNNNNNNNNNNNNNNNNNNNNNNNNNNNNNNNNNNNNNNNNNNNNNNNNNNNNNNNNNNNNNNNNNNNNNNNNNNNNNNNNNNNNNNNNNNNNNNNNNNNNNNNNNNNNNNNNNNNNNNNNNNNNNNNNNNNNNNNNNNNNNNNNNNNNNNNNNNNNNNNNNNNNNNNNNNNNNNNNNNNNNNNNNNNNNNNNNNNNNNNNNNNNNNNNNNNNNNNNNNNNNNNNNNNNNNNNNNNNNNNNNNNNNNNNNNNNNNNNNNNNNNNNNNNNNNNNNNNNNNNNNNNNNNNNNNNNNNNNNNNNNNNNNNNNNNNNNNNNNNNNNNNNNNNNNNNNNNNNNNNNNNNNNNNNNNNNNNNNNNNNNNNNNNNNNNNNNNNNNNNNNNNNNNNNNNNNNNNNNNNNNNNNNNNNNNNNNNNNNNNNNNNNNNNNNNNNNNNNNNNNNNNNNNNNNNNNNNNNNNNNNNNNNNNNNNNNNNNNNNNNNNNNNNNNNNNNNNNNNNNNNNNNNNNNNNNNNNNNNNNNNNNNNNNNNNNNNNNNNNNCCGGUUUGGGAGCUAUCAGACUCGUAAGCGGCGUUGAUGUAAUCUUCGUCGCUGUAUUCAUCCUCGGAAGAGGAAUAAGAGUCAGAUGCUUCGGAGGGAUCUUCCAUUAUAGAGAAGAGCUUUUCCUUGGUUUCAUCAGUCAAAUCAAGAAGAUUUAUUUUCUUCUUUUUGCCUGAUGUGCAAUCUUUGGCUCUAUGGCCUGUUUUUCCGCAAGUCCAACAAGUAUCCUUGGAUUUUGAGGAAGUCUUGCGUCUGGUUUUUCGACGAGAUUUAUUGGAUUCCUUAUAGGGAUCCUUAUAGGAAGUCUUUCGUUUAGGAUAAGACCUUUUAUGAUGCUUUGGAGGCUUUCUUUUAUGCCUCCUGCUUUCAUUGAGGUCCGUGAAACCGUAGUCGUGACAGAAAGUUGUCAGACCAUAUUUAUGGUUUUGCUUAAGCUGUUGUUUAAGCUUAAGGUCCGUACAGAGUUCUAUUCCUGUGGUGGUGAUGAAACUUACUAGAUCACCGUAGGUAAGAAUGUUAUAAGGGAUUUGGCCCUCGAAUCUAUCCUUAAGUUUUGUUCACAGUAAGGACAACACCCGAGAAAUAGCGAUCAUAUACCGUGUAUAUUAUCGCCUAAUGGGUACCACUCUAGCUCCAAAAGCUAGAUUCACGAGCCCUAAAAGGGUUACCACCCUAAUGAAAGCAGGAGGCAUAAAAGAAAGCCUCCAAAGCAUCAUAAAAGGUCUUAUCCUAAACGAAAGACUUCCUAUAAGGAUCCCUAUAAGGAAUCAAAUAAAUCGCGUCGAAAAACCAGACGCAAGGUUUCCUCAAAAUCCAAGGAUACUUGUUGGACUUGCGGCAAAACAGGCCAUCGAGCCAAAGAUUGCACAUCAGGCAAAAAGAAGAAAAUAAAUCUUCUCGAUUUGACUGAUGAAACCAAGGAAAAGCUCUUCUCUAUAAUGGAAGAUCCCUCCGAAGCAUCUGACUCUUAUUCUUCUUCCGAGGAUGAAUACAGCGACGAAGAUUACAUCAACGCCGCUUACGAGUCUGAUAGCUCCCAAACCGGGCAAGACUGUGAGUGCAAUAGCACUUUCUGCACCUGCACCCGUAAAACCAUCAAUGUCAUUUCAGACAAACCAAAAGAAAUCUUGUUUGACAUCAUAGAACAUAUCGAUGAUGAAGAACUCAGACAUAAGUAUCUCCAAGAACUUAAGCGCCUUGUGCUUUCUUCCGAUGAAGGCACUUCCAAACCUAAACCUGUUGUUCAGCCUUUCUCCAUGACUAGAGUAAUGGCAAAGUUCAAACCUCCCUCUGAGCCCUCUAUCGCAGACCUCAAAGGAGAGGUCUCUACAUUAAAAAGUGAGAUCAAAAAUCUGAAGACUCGCCUUGAUCAAGUAGAGCUACACGUUCUGACUGAUCAAAUCCUGCAUACCGCUUCACCAACAGCUCUUCCCCCUACAUCUCAGGCACUCAGCCCCCCUACUGAUCAUCUCCAAGAGCCAAUGUCUUUUCCGGGAGAAGAUGCUUCGACUAUCCCAUCUACGUCUGCAGCAAUCGCAGCCAUCAAGGCUUAUAGCGAACAUAUUGCUGUUAAGAUCGUUAUUGCCAAAGACUUUGUAUUAAACAAAGUAGCCCUUUUUGAUACCGGCGCUGACAGUAAUUGUAUUGUCAAAGGCCUUAUUCCCACUCGGUAUCUCCAAAAGAGUACCUCCAAGCUAUACUCAGCCACGGGUGAAAAAAUGCGAAUUGAUUACCAACUUCGCCAAGCUCAUAUCUGUAAUAACGGCGUAUGCCUUAUUAAUGAUUUUGUCAUUACUGAAGAUAUCACUGAAGAUAUCAUACUUGGCAUCCCCUUUAUCAACCAGAUCAGACCUUACCAAAGUAAUUACGAUGGUAUUCGGACCACCUUGAUGGACACUGAUCUGUUUUUCCCUUUACUUCGGCCGCUCUCCUCUCAUGAGCAGCAGCGUAUCAAAGACGAAACCGUCUUUAAGAUCAAUCGUCUUUCCUCUCAUCUUGCCUUUCUACAGCACGAUAUUCAGCUCAAACGUAUUGAGCACACUUUAAACACCCCGGAGAUGGUUAGCAAAAUUUCCACUCUCCAGCAAAAGUUUGAAAACGAGAUUUGCUCCGAAUUGCCAAACGCCUUUUGGGAACGCAAACGACACCUCGUUGAACUUCCAUACAUAUCUGGCUUCGAUGAACAAAACAUCCCCACUAAAGCCAGACCAAUCCAAAUGAAUCAUGAGAUGAUGGAAAUCUGUAAAACAGAAAUCAAUCAUCUUCUUGAAAAAGGAAUUAUCCGCCCUUCUAACUCUCCAUGGAGUUGCUCAGCAUUUUAUGUAAAUAACAGUGCUGAAAAAGAAAGAGGAACACCCAGGCUUGUAAUAAAUUAUAAGCCACUAAAUGCAGUCUUAAAAUGGAUUAGACAUCCUAUUCCCAACAAAAGGGAUCUUUUAAAGCGAACUUAUAAAGCUAACCUUUAUAGCAAGUUCGAUAUGAAAUCAGGCUUCUGGCAAAUUCAGAUUGCCGAAAAGGAUAAAUAUAAGACGGCAUUCAAUGUUCCUUUUGGACAUUAUGAAUGGAAUGUCUUACCCUUCGGGCUUAAGAAUGCCCCUUCAGAAUUCCAAAAUAUUAUGAAUAACAUUUUUAAUGAUUAUUCUUAUAUGACCAUUGUUUAUAUUGACGAUGUGUUAAUCUUUUCUGAGAAUAUUGAUUCUCAUUUUAAACAUCUUAACACUUUCUUUAAGAUUGUCAAAUUAAAUGGUUUGGUAGUAAGCGCUAAAAAAAUGCAGCUCUUCCAGACUUCUAUCCGAUUUCUAGGACAUGAUCUGCACCAAGGAAGUCACAAGCCCAUCUGUAGAGCCAUAGAAUUCUCUACUAAAUUUCCUGAUGAAAUUACUGACAAAACGCAACUUCAAAGGUUCUUAGGAAGCCUAAAUUAUGUUGCUGACUUUAUUCCUAACGUUAGGCAGGUCUGUGAACCCCUUUAUCAGCGUCUCAAGAAAAAUCCAAUUCCUUGGGGUCCUGAGCAAACAAAAGCGAUCGUCAAGGUCAAGUCUUUGGUUAAAAACCUUCCCUGCCUAGGAAUCCCCAAUCCUGAUGCUUUUAUGAUUGUUGAAACAGAUGCUUCAGACCUAGGGUAUGGAGGUAUCCUGAAGCAAAAGAUGAGUGAACAGUCGUCAGAACAAUUAGUACGUUUUACCUCAGGAGUUUGGAAUUCUGCCCAGAGGAAUUACAGUACAGUUAAAAAAGAAGUUUUAUCUAUAGUGCUAUGUAUCACUAAAUUCCAGGAUGACCUUAUUAAUAAGGAAUUUCUUCUAAGAGUUGAUUGUAAAUCAGCCAAAGAGAUUUUACAAAAAGAUGUUAAAAAUCUCGUUUCUAAACAGAUAUUUGCUAGAUGGCAAGCUCUCCUAUCUAGCUUUGAUUUUCAAAUUGAAUUCAUAAAAGGAGAACACAAUUCCCUUCCCGAUUUUCUGACAAGAGAAUUUCUACAGGGCCAUGAGACCAACACUGCCGGGCAACAGCCCCAAGACGGAACAACAAAGAAUGGCUAGACCAUUCGAUUCUCCAAAUCCAGCCUCAAAUCCUUUACGGCCCACAGUACCACAGAGGCCGACCAUCAAGACAGAAACUCCCAACCGAUUCUCUGCUUUGACAGAAAUACAAUUUCCCAAAUUAUCUCCACCAAUGCCCACGAAGUUGGUAGACCUCAAGACAAAUUUGCCUCUGGAAAAAGGAUCGUCUGCGGCAAGCUCUUCCUCCAUCCAGACCAAACAGAGCUAUGCCAUGAAGGCCCCUGAGACCUUCGCUCAGGCGGUAAAUCCUGCUGCUGCCACAGUUACUCCUCCCUCUCCCACCAAAGAGGAAUUCAAAUUUAUUACUUCCACUGUAAUGCCUAUCAUUUCUCUCGAUAAGGCUUACGAAGGAUACCCGGUCAACCAGUUAAUCAGGCCGAUAUAUACUACUAAUAACUUUGUGGAUACAGAAGAUCCACUCAAGACUCGCAGAUAUUACGAAGCUAUUCUGGUCGACACGGAUUCGAUCGAAGUAGAACAUUCACUGGAUAACAACAAUCCAGAUUAUAUCAGUUAUUCUAAAUUCACCAUAAAAAGGAUAUUAACUCCUUUUAAUUGGUUUGUUGAUCAUUUACACACCCCCAUCGCUCUAUCUAUGCCACACAGGCCUCAAACCUACAACUGGCACGACUACCGAGCUGCAUGGUUCAAUUUCAUCUAUGUUCGUCCAGGACAUACAUGGUUUGUCAAGUAUUGCCCUGCCAUAGUAGAUGCUACUAUCCCAAGGUGGUUCUACGAGUGGUGGUCCUGCUUCGGGGGAACCAAAGGAGUUCUCCCUCAACAAUUUUUAAAUAGAUUCCCAGAUUUCCUCGUGAAGGAAGGAUGCUCCACAUUACCUGAGCACAUUCAAAUGUGCAAAUUCUUUACCAAAAAACGUAUAUCAUAUAUUAUUUCCUGGAACUUCUCCAAAGAAGAACAGCACAGGAUUAAGUAUUUAUCCAAAGAGAUUAAAAUCAAGGGUUGGACUCCAAAGCCAACCACUCCUAAAACCCCAGACAAAGGAAAAGCUACAACAAUGGCUUCUCCAUCUUCUUCUGCCUCAAAGAAAGCGCUAAAAGAGAAAUUGAAACAAGCUCUGGCCAACCUAGAAGGACCAGAUCCUACAGACAAUAAUGAAGAAUUAUUGCAACUUAUCGCCGAAGCUUCCUCAACAGGCAGUAGCAGCGACAAUGGCGAUAUGCUAGAUCCCAAAGGGAUCGCUAUGGCCUACCUUGAUCCCUAUUAAGAAUAGGGAAAUAACCCUUCAAAGAGAUAGAGGUCCAAAGGGCCGGAAUUACCUCUUCGAAAGGGCAAUUCACUAUUCCUAAAAGGAAUCUAGGUGUCAGACAAAGUUUGCUGUGUCAGACAAAGUCUGCUUUUCCAAAAGCAAAAGAAAGGAAUCUUUACUUUAUUACUUUUAUAAAGUAACCACUUACUUCUGUCGGCAAAAUCUUAGCCGUCCACUUGUAUCAAUCUGUUACAUGUAAUGUAUCCCCUCGCCUAUAAAAGGCAAGCCCAUCCUUUAGAGAAGGCAUCCGAAAAUUUCCUACCAUAAGAAAUUCUCUCUGCCCAUUCUCUCUUGUACAAUCUUGUAAUGUUUUUCCAAUUUCAAUAAAAACUUUGUAAGUUUUCAAUUUCAGUUCUUGUUCUUAUUUACUGCUUUUCAAGGUUAACACACGAUCCUUUCAAACUGUUAUAGCCCACGAUUUUAGGGGUAGGCUAGGGGUGCGGGCUUUUUGUGGGCCAAAAAUCAAUCGGGGUGGGCCAGGAAGGUUGGGGAUCAUCCCAGUGUGGUCAAUUUUUAGGGCCAUUUCGGUGGACAAAUGAGCGAAACGACGUGAACUGGGUAUUUUUGAGCCAAGUUGGUGUGCUAUAGCCCAUGGUUUCAAGGGUGGACUCGGGGUUCGAGUAUUUUAUGGGCCAAAAAUUGAUCGAGGCAUACCAAGGAGGUUGGGAUCGUUCCAGUAUAGUCCAUUUAAAUUUUUAUGGCUAUUUGGGUGGACAAGCGGGUGAAACGGCAUGAACGAGAUAUUUUCGGGCUAAAUCGAUGUGCUACAGCCCACGAUUUCGGGGUUGGGCCCAGUAUCCAGGCGUACUGUAGGCCAAAAAUUGUUCAGGAUAUGUCAGGGAGGUUGGGCAUCGUCCCAGUUAGUUUGUUUAAAUUUUUGUGGCCAUUUGGGUGGACAAACGGGUGAAAAGGCACGAAUGGGGUAUUUUUGGGCAAAAUUGGUGUGUUAUAUUCAAUGGUUUCGGGGGUAGGUGCGGGGUCCGGGCGUGCUGCGGGCCGAAUAUUGAUCAGGGUAUGCCAAGGAGGUUGGGGAUCAUCCUAGUAUGGUCAGUUUAAAUUUUCAUGUCCAUUUGGGUGGACAAACAAGCAAAACGAUGCGAACGGGGCAUUUUAAAGCCAAAUCUGUAUGCUAUAGUCCACAAUUUUGGGGGAGGGCCCUUGGUCUGGUUAUGUUGUGGGCCAAAAAUCGAUCGGGGCAUGCCUGGGAGGUUUGGGAUCAUUCCAGUGUUGUCCGUUUAAAUUUUCCUGGCCAUUUGGGUAGACAAAUUGGCGAAUCUUCUCAAACGGGGCAUUUUUGGGCUAAAUCAGUGUGUUAUAGCCCACGGUUUUGGGGAUGGGCCUGGGUUCUGGGCGUACAGUUGGUCCAAAAUUGACCAGGGCAUGCCAAGGCAGUUUGGGAUCAUCCCAUUAUGGUCCGUUUAAAUUUUUGUGGCCUUUUGGUUGGAUAAACGGGUGAAACAUCGUGAAUGGGACAUUUUUGAGCUAAAUCGGUGUGCUAUAGCCCACGGUUUUGGGGGUGGGCUAGGGAUCCAGGUGUGAUGUUGGUAAAAAAUUUAUCGGGGUAUGCCAGGGAUUUUGAGAAUCAUCCCAAUGUGGUCCGUUUAAAGUUUCAUUGCCAUUUGGGUGGACAGACAGGCAAAACGGUGCGAGCGGGGCAUUUUCUAGCCAAAUCGGUGUGUUAUAGCCUACGGUUUUGGGGGUGGGCCUUGGGUCCGGGUGUACUGUGGGCUAAUAAUCGACUAAGGUAUGCUUGGGAAGUUGAUAAUCAUCCCAGUAUGGUCCAUUUGAAUUUUUAUGUCCAUUUAGGUUGACAAACAGGUGAAAUAGCGCGAGCGGGGCAUUUUCGGGCAAAAUUGGUGUGCUACAACCCAUUGUUAUUGGGGUGGGCCCAGGGUCUAGGCGUUUUGUGGGUCAAAAAUCGACCGGGGCAUGCCAAGGAGGUUGGAAAUCGUCCAAAUGUGGUCCGUUUUAAUUUUUGUGGCCAUUUGGGUGGACAAACGGGCGAAACGGCGUGAGCCGGGCAUUUUAGGGCUAAAUUGGUAUGCUGCAGCCCAUGGUUUCAGGGGUGGGCCUGGGUGUACUAUGGCUUAAAAAUUGACCGGGGCAUGUCAAGGAGGUUUGGGAUUAUCCUAGUGUGGUCUUUUUAAAUAUCCGUGGCCAUUUGUGUGGAUAAACGAGCAAAACGGUAGGAACGAGGAAUUUUCAGGCCAAAUUGGUGUGCUAUAGCCCACAAUUUUAUGAUGGACCAGGGGUCCGGGCGUACUGUGGGUCAAAAAUCAAUCGGGGCAUAUCAGGUAGGUUGGGGAUCAUCCGAGUGUGGUCCAUUUAAAUUUUCAUGGCUCUUUGGGUGGACAAAGGGUGAAAUGGCACGAACGGGGUGUUUUCAGGCCAAAUAGAUGUGCUAUAGCCCACGAUUUUGGGGGUGGGCCUGGGGUCUAAGCGUGCUGUAGGCCCAAAAUUGAUUGGGGCGUGCCAGGGAGGUUGGGUAUUAUUCAAGUGUGGUCCAUUUAAAUUUUUGUGGAUAUUUGGAUGGACAAACGAGCGAAAUGGCGUGAACACAGUAUUUUUGGGCCAAAUCAAUGUGCUAUAGCCCACGGUUUUGGGGGUGGGUCCGAGGUCCGAGCGUGUUAUGGACCAAAAUUGAUAGGGGCAUCUCAGGGAGGUUGGGGAUCAUCCCAGUAUGGUCCGUUUAAAUUUUCUAGGCCAUUUGGAUGGGAAAAUGGGAAAAACGACGCGAACGGGGUAUAUUCGAGCAAAAUCGGUGUGCAAUAGCCCAUGAUUUUGGGGGUAGGCUAGGCGUACGGGCGGUUGUGGGCCAAAAAUUAAUUGGGGUGGGGCAGGGAGGUUGGGGUUCAUCCUAGUGUGGUCCAUUCAAAUUUUCAUGGCCAUUUAGGUGGUCAAACGAGCAAAAUGGUGUGAACGGGGCAUUUUCGAGACAAAUUGCUGUGCUAUAGCCCACGGUUUUAAGUGUGGGCCUGGGGUCUGAGCGUUUUGUGGGCUGAAAAUCGAUCGAGGCAUGCCAAAGAGGUUGGGGAUCGUUCCAAUAUGGUUUGUUUAAAUUUUUAUGGCUAUUUGGGUGGACAAGAGGGUGAAAUGGCAUGAACGGGGUAUUUUCGGGCCAAAUCGAUGUGCUACAUUCCACGGUUUCAUGGGUGGGCCUGGGAUCCAAACGUACUGUGGGCCAAAAAUUGACCGGGACAUGUCAGGGAGGUUGGGCAUCAUCCUGGUGUGGUCUUUUUAAAUUUUUAUAGCCAUUUGGGUGGACAAACGGGUUAAAAGGCACAAAUAGGGUAUUUUUGGGCAAAAUCGGUGUUCUAUAACCGACGAUUUCGGGGGUGGGCAAGGGGUUUGGGCGUGCUGUGGGCUAAAUAUUGAUCGGAGUAUGCGAAGGAGGUUGGGGAUCAUCCCAGUAUGGUCCGUUUAAAUUUUUGUGGCCAUUUGGGUGGACAAAUGAGCGAAACAACGUGAACGGAGCAUUUUUGAGCCAAAUUAGUGUGCUAUAGCCUAUGGUUUUGGGGGAGGGCCUUUGGUCCGAUCAUGCUGUGGGCCAAAAAUUGAUCGGGGCAUGCCAGGGAGUUGGGGAUCAUUCCAGUGUGAUCUGUCUAAUUUUUCAUGGCUAUUAGGGUGGAUACACAGAGUAAAAGGCGCUAACGGGGCAUUUUUAGGCUAAAUUGUGUGCUAUAGCCCAGGGUUUUGGGGGUGGUCCUAGGGUCCAGGCGUGUUGUUGUCCAAAUAUCAACUGGGGCAAGCUUGGUAGGUUAGGUAUUAUCCUUGUGUGGUUCGUUUAAAUUUUUGUGACCAUUUGGAAUGAGAAAUGGCAGAAACAGCUCGAACGGGGCAUUUUCGAGCUAAAUCGGGGUGCUAUAGCCCAUGGUUUCAGGGGUGGACCCGGGGUACGGGCAUGCUAUGGGUCAAAAUAUGAUCGAGGCUUUCCAGGGAGGUUGGGGAUCAUCCCAGUGUGAUCCGUUUAAAUUUCUAUGGCUAUUUGGAUGGACAAACGGGUGAAACAAUGCGAACCGGGCAUUUUUUGGGCCAAGUCGGUGUGCUAUAGCUCACGGUUUUGGGGGUGUGCCGAUGGAUAAAAAUUGCCCGGGGUGUACCAGGGAGGUUGGGAUCAUAGCAGUGUGGUCUGUUUAAAUUUUCAUGGCUAUUUGGAUGGACAAACGGGGGAAACUGUGCGAACGGGGCAUUUUCAGGAUAAAUCAAUGCACUAUAAGCCCACAGUUUCAGGGGUGGGCCCGGGUUUCGGGAGUGCUAUGGGCCAAAAAUUGAUCAGGAUAUGCCAUAGAGGUUGGGUAUCAUCCCAGUGUGGUCCGUUUAAAUUUUCAUGGCUAUUUGGGUGGAUAAAUAGGUGAAACGGCACGAAUGGGGCAUUUUCGAGCUAAAUCGGUGUGCUAUAGCCCACAAUUUUGGGGAUGGACCCAGGGUUCGAGCGUUCUGUGGGCUAAAAAUCAUCCGGGGUAUGCCAGGGAGGUUUAGGAUCAUCCCCGUAUGGUUCGUUGAAAUUUUUAUGGCCAUUUGGAUGGACAAACGGGCAAAAAGCGUGAUUAGGGCAUUUUCGUCUCAAAUGGGUGUGCUGUGGGCCAAAUAUCAAUCGGCGCAUGCCAGGGAGAUUGGGGAUCAUCCCAGUGUGGUCCGUUUAAAUUUUCGUGGCCAUUUGGUUGGACAAACAUGCAAAAUAGCGCGAAUAUAGCAUUUUUGGGCCAAAUUGAUGUGCUAUAGCCCACGGUUUUGGGGGUGAGCCCAGGGUCCGAGCGUGCUAUGGGCUGAAAAUUGAUCGAGGUAUGCCAGGGAGGUUGGGGAUCAUCCCAGUGUGGUCCGUUUAAAUUUUUUGGCCAUUUGGGUGGACAAAUGGUCUAAACGGCGCGAAUGGGACAUUUUUGGGCCAAAUCAGUGUACUAUAGCCCACGAUUUCAGGGGUGGGCCCGUGUUCCGGGCGUGCUAUAGGCCAAAAAUUGACUAGGGCAUGCCAGGGAGGGUGGGGAUCAUCUCAGUGUGGUCCGUUUAAAUUUUUAUGGCCAUUUGGGUGGACAAAUGGCUGAAAUAGCGCGAAUGGGGCAUUUUUAGGCCAAAUCGGUGUGCUAUAGCCCACAGUUUUAGAGGUGGGCUCGGGUUCCGGGCAUGCUAUCAUCCAAAAAUUAACUUUGGCAUGCUAGGGAAGUUGGGAUUUGUUCCAAUUUGGUCCGUUUAAAUUUUUGUGGCUAUUUGUGUCGACAAACGGGCGAAACGGCGCGAACUGGGCAUUUUAGGUACAAAUAGAAAGAUUUGAGUCUUAGAUUUUUAUUUAGUUUUCUAGAUUUUGUAUUUCAAAUCUUGUAUAUCUAGGUAAGUAUAUACUUAGUCAAAAUAUAUGCAAUAUAAUUUUUGUUGUAUUUGGCUCAAUCCUUUUAGUAAAAUGGGCUGAGUUUAAUUGCAAUUCAAUUAAGACAACGAAGGAUAAUUAUUUGAGUUCUUUCUCCUUGUCCUUCGUUAUUUCCUGCUAAUUUAUCUGCUAAUGUCUACUAUUUUUACUUAUCCAAAACGUCCACUGCUUUAAAAUGAAAUACGAUCUCUUUCCAUACCUCACAAAAAGCAGCUAGUUCCGGGCUCCAUUUGGAAGCCUCGCGAAUAAUCUCAUUACCUUCCCGAGCAAGAUCGCGUCCUUCAUUUCAAGCUUUUACACAUUCUUCUAGAGCUACUCGAUUAGCUAUGGAACCUGGCACAUCACACCAAGGAUGUCCUAAAGUUCCUCCACCGAACUGUAAUACGGAAUCAUCCCCAAAGAUCUUGGUCAGAGCAGGCAUAUGCCAAACAUGAAUACCUCCUGAAGCCACAGGUAUAACACCUGGUAAAAAGACCCAAUCUUGAGUGAAAUAAAUACCGCGACUUUGAUCUUGUUGAACAAAAUCAUCACGCAAUAAGUCAACAAAGCCCAAAGUUAUUUCUCUUUCACCUUCAAGUUGCUCCCAACUAUCGAUUGAUUCAGGCUCUAAAUCUUUUUUUUGAUUCUAUGUAUUAUUCUCAUUAUGCACAUAAGGGAGGAGCCGUAUAAAGUGAAAUUCUCACGUAUGGUUCUGGAACGGAGAUUCUUUCAGUUGAAUGACGACAAUAACGGAUAUCGGCUCAAUCCAAAGGAAAUUACACGGAAGCUUUGUAGAAUUAUUAUGAAGCUAUGCGACUUGAAAUUGAUCCCUAUGAUCGAAGUUAUAUACUCUAUAAUAAAUGCUUUUUUUCCCUAAUUUGUUUUGUUUGAGAAGCUGUGAUCGGAACUUCUUUCGCUUUGAACGACUCCGGUCCUAUUGAAUCUCUUACCACGGCUAGUCUCUUUGUAGUAGUAAUAGCGGGAGGGGGGAACUCUUUUGAAAGAAGAAAGGAUUAGGUCUCAAUAAAAGAGCCUAUGAAAAAAAAAGAACAUGGAAUUGAAAGUUCUUUGCCUUAGACUUCGAGUUGACAGAACUCUUGGCCUUACGAGACGCGGGCAACUUUACUAUUCAAAGGGAUAGAAGUAAGAAAAUGUUGGAAGAGAUAGACCUCUUUUGCUUAGUUGGAUUACGGGCCUUUGUGAAGGUGACCUUCUUUCGGGCGAGAGGGUCACCGUGGGUGCCGUAGUCAAGAGAGAAUCCUGUAUGUUCUAUUACCAGUCUAGUGCACUAGUGCAAUUAUAGAAAGAUUCCUUUUCAGAGGCCACUAAAAGCCCUUUUAUGGCACGUUUACCCCCUUCCAGGGGUUCUGUUAACACGAGGGGUUUUGAACGUUGCAUUUUAGCUUUCAGAGACCGCUCUCUCAUUGGGAUUGGGAAGGGUCGAGUCUUUUUCUGAGUCGUGAAUCUCCUCGGUACUUGAAAUUAAUUCUUUAAAGCUGGGAACUCCAUUUAAUUACCCGGGCAUAAGCUCUCCCUUUGCUUAGCUCCUUUUUGUAAAGCACAAAAGCUAAGGCGCUACAUAGAGCUCUUUUAUUAUAGGGCGAGGAGUCUGCUUCCUAAAUCCCAUUUUAGAGGGCAGGUAUCACGCUUUAUACAAUUGUCAGCUAAGUAAAUAGAUGGGGAAAAUAAAGAAAAAAAGCGCUUUGAAAGUCGUAAACCACACGAAAUCAGGCUUUACCUUAGCUACUAAGAGGCUUCCUCUGGCAACGACUUUCAUUUUCCUAAAGAUUGAAUUCUUACCGGCAUACGCUAGGAGCAUCACUCUGAAUCUAGGAGCUUUCUUUCUUCCCCUUGUUAGCAAUCCUCUUUGUUUUCUUACACGACAGCUUUCGAAGUAAGCUAGUCAAGCAAUAACAGCGGGAUCAGGAAGUGUGAACUCAGACAGUACGGGAAGAGCCACCCUUUUCCUCUCAAGCGAGAGCAGCUGAAAGGAAGUGACAGAAGCCAACUAGAAGCUUAAGUGAAUCUCUUUGGUGAGGUGAAGAAUCCGUCUAUUCAACGGGGCUAUUAGAGAAGUAAAGGGUAGAAAAAUCUUCCUUUAGUAAGUAAGGUCCAUGGAUUCGUGUGAGUGGCUUUGUCUUUCGUGAGCGUAGGCAGUAAAAGAGCACGUAUGUACAGGUGCCGGGGUGAAAGCUCAAUCCAAUACAUGAAAGCGGAAUCACAACUGUCAAAGUAAGUAGGUCAAUGCCAAUAAAAAAGAUAGGGUUUAGCUUAGUAUAGUCCUAAGGAAAGCAAAUGAAAUAGAAUAAGAUGUCAUCUCAUGCCCUUUUUAAAUGGGGCACGAAAGCUAAAAGAAAUAGUAAGGUGCGAAGGGAACUCCUUAAAACACUUUUUAGUUGAAGAUGGAGGUGAGGGAAGACAGAAGGAGUAGCAUAAUUAGUAACCUCUUGUAACAUUAUUCUUGUAUUAGUUAGAAAUAAGACUAGAAAAAGAGAAUUCCUUUUGGUUAAGAUAAAGAUUAAUGGAUAGAAAGAUUCAUGGGUCGAAGCAAAAGGAGCUCAGCUUAGGGGCCUGUAUGCCUUGUUUCCAAGAUCCGGUGGAUAGCUUUCAUAUUCCCCCAGGGCUUUCAUUCAGAUGGAGGGGUAGUCUGAAUUCAUUAACCAAAUAUGAAAGUAAGAGAGGCAAUUCUUAAAAUUCUUUGAUCCCGAAAGCCCAACACUCGGCCUAGUAAUUCUUGUCCGAACCUUCCAUCCGUAAGCCAAUAAAUUGAAAAGACAAGUCGGACAUCAUUCGACACCUUCCACCGAUAAAACAUGCUAUCGAAGGAAAGAGUCACCCAAAAAGGCAUUUCCAACCAUAACUUCACCUGUUGCAGAACCGUAACCCAUCCUUGGCCUCUCUAUGAAUGUGCAUGCCUAGAUCUUCGUCAUUCUCUUCCACCAAAAGGAAGAAUGGAAUAAUCAAUCGCAUCUACAAUCGAAACCCAAGCUGGCGAAUAAGCAAGUGAUUGGUCUUUUUUAGUUUUUAUUAGCUUGAUCGGCAACUGGGACACAAACGAAGGAGCUUUUAGAAUGACUUCAAUUGGCACACACAGUAUUACCCCAACUCUUCCUUAGCCUCUUAGACUGACUUGCCAGACCUUAAGCUCUUCGUUUCAUGCCUUACUUCUGCUCUAACGAGAACUCUAAGAUGAGGGAGUUAGAAGUCGGAUUUGAAGCUGGACUUUCCCUAUAUGACAUUUCUUUAAAGUCCGCUUCGAAGCUUCCAGGUUUACUUGUUUUAUAUUAUGGUUAUAGAGAAUAACUCAGUCCCUUGCUUCCAUUAGUCAGGUGCAGGGAUAUCAUCUCUUUAUCUAGAAUUAUUCCUUUUGCAUAUAUAUCUCGUCGAUAAAAAAGAAAUGAUUUGACUUUCCCGUAGCUUUCUUCAAAACUCUUUCAUUUCUCUUUUCUUCUCACCUCAUAGUUUUGAAAUGAAUGACUUUUUUCUUCUUGCUUCACCUUCGCACAGAAGAACGAAAGGAAAAAUCAAUGCUCUAACCCCGGGAUAUCUCACGUGUCCAAUAACGAGAAUGUCAGCUAUGGCCUUAGGUUAUCUUUCUGUUCAAGCAAACUAUGGGGCUUUUAGUUUUAUUUCAUCUCAUCUGUAUGCAAAGAAAACUAGCAUAAAAAAGGACUCCGUUAUGUUAAAGGUAUCGAGGUUGACUGGUUGUCUAUCUAGGUGAGUAUCGAACAUGGUGUCUUUCUACCGCUUGUGAAAGCAUUCCUUCCAAUUAAAAUAUUUCAAGGCCCAAUCGUCGGCCAGCUUCACAACAAGGAGGUUUUGUUACCGCCAUUUUCUAGAUGGUUUCAUUACAAUGAAUGAAGGAAUCCAUCCAUUCAUUGCAUUUCUCUAUCUCAAGAGUCGGGUUUAUCGAGUUCGAUAUGGUGAAAGUGGAUUUUGGUCUCUUUUCGAUUGCUUUACAAAGGGGAACAAAAAGAAAAGACCUAUACACCAAAAGUAAAAAGGGGAAAUCCCUUGAUCAGGUCUUGAAUGAGACUGAAGGUAAGGAGACCCCCCUAAUGAAAAAAGGGCUAAAAAGAAGUAAUUUCUUAUAUAAAGAUAUGGGUUUCCGGGUAUAGAUCGAAAUGGAAUCCCCGAAAACUAAGGCUGGAGUAUUAGACUUGUUCUGCUUCGAUAGAGGCACUGUAACCGUAAGUGGAAUAAUAAUUAUUCGGUCGAUUGCUCUUAUACUUCCUUUACUGACACAGAAGAGAGAGAGCACUCCCCAAGCCAAGGUGCCAAAAAAAAGAUGCGAAAGCUAGUCUAUCAGAAGGAGAAAGCGAGGGAGUGAGAUUUUAGGUUUCAUUAGGGUAGACUGAAGACCAAGCCAAUCUCGAAACUUAAAGAAAAACUUAUUGGAACUACAAACGUGAAUAGAUACUUUCUCAUUAGACUAUUUUAACCAAUUAUUUAUGUCGACCCUACACUAAGAUUCUUCUUCUCUUAUGAAAUUUCGAGUUAGAUGAACCCUGCUCUGCUGCAUGACGGAGUGAUCUUUUCGUCUUAUGAAAUCCGGUAGGGAGUUCGGAUCUAUGUUCAAAGGAGGGGGUCUAUUAGCAGAGCAUCAAUAAUCGGGUUCUUGCCUUGCAUUGGUUUUCAUUUUGCACUAUCCGGUCACUGGUUUGAAGUUAGUGCUCCGUGAGUGUAUAGCGAACCUAAUGUUCUUAUUUACUUGUUGGACAGGUUUGAGUGUGGAUGGCAAGUGAGUGCCGGCUUUUCAAAGAGAUAUUUGGAUCCAUCUUUGUCAACAGGAGAAGGGAAUAGGCCUUGAGGGUAAUGUCAGAGCCUCUGCCUAGCCCACACCAAGGCUACUAAUAAUGGGAUAAGACCUUACUACUAUAUAGGAUAUGUUACCUUCUCUCCAGUGAGUGCAGUGAAGGACUCUCACCUCACCCGCCCGUUUGACUUAUGGCAUCAUCAACUUGCUUUUCAAUCAAAGAGAUUUCAUAACCAUAAAUAAAGAUCUCUCUUUCGGGACAUACUUGAGAGGCAUUUUUGAUUCCUCUUUAAUGAUCUGGAAUUUCUGCGAGGAGCUCUGUUCGAGAGGAAGCACUGGCUCUUAUCGAAAUUGACCUUUUGGCCAUUACAACAUUACAAUCAGCUUCUUCCUUCUUUCCAAAAAGAUUUUCUGCUUCUUAAGAUUCCGUUUAUGGCUAUUAUAUAAUAUUAGAACAUCGUUAUCAAAGAGAAAGUAGGAGAGUGCUGGGCAUGAUCUUGAAGCAUGGUAAGUUGUUAUCAUUUUCAAUGAUACCAUUAGCACUUCUUCAGCAAAAAUCAACAGGCUAGGUUUUGGACCCUUGUCGCAGCCCUCGAGAAGCUGGAAAGUACCCAUGUGGCACACCAUCCACAAGCACUCCAAAGUCUUUAUUACAUAAAAAUCCAUGUAUCAAAUUCCGCCAUUUCUCACAAAAGACCAUUCGAUCCAAAAAGAUGCUUUUGCCAUAUCCUGACUUUCUUUUGACCCUCCUCCCUCCUAUGCUGUCUUUAGGUUCAAAUCCCCUAUCACUUAAAUCUACCUCACGAGCCAAGGAGAUCUUCUCUACUUAGACCUUUAACAAAAGCGCCCCUUUUUUCCUUAACUAUUUUUAUAGGGAGAAUCAAACAAAUUCUUCAAGCUAGAGAGAAUUUUUGAGAUUUACAAAGCUCUCCUUCAAAUAUCCCAUAAAUAAAGGUAGGUCAGAAUUGGUGAAAGAAGGACUUUAGACUUUCGGAAUAAGGGCAAUGAAAUUUUUUGGUUUUUUGAUUUUGUAUCUUUUCUAUUUCAUUUUUAAAUUUAAAUUUUUGCAUCAGAAUUGGCUUCUGUUUGAUUGUAUUCACCCGACAGAAUCUAAAUAGGAUUAGAAAGAGAACUUCUUUUUAUUAUUCGAACGUACUAACUAGUCGUACUAACUAGUUAUGAAAUCGGAUUGAUAUCUUCCACCCGUGUUCUAGCUCGUUGGAGAGCUAGAUUUGCCUUAAUUUUUUGUCUCCUUCCUUCAGCCUUUUUUACAUUAGCUUCUGCUAUUUCAAGAGUUUGCUGAGCUUCUUGUGGAUCAAUGUCACUACCCUUCUCCGCAUCAUUUACUAAAACAGUGAUCUCAUUAUUGACUAUUCUAGCAAAACCACCCAUUAGAGCCAUCGAUAACCAUUGGUUGUUAAGGCGUAUUUGCAAAAUCCCUAUAUCUACAGUUGUGGCAAUAGGGGCGUGAUUUGGUAAUAUGCCAAUUUGAACACUAUUAGUAGAUAACAUGAUUUAUUCCACUUCUGAAUCCCAAAUAAUUCGAUUAGGAAUCAGUACACUAAGAUUUAAGGUCAUUUCUUCAAAUUGCUCUCCAUUUCUAAGUUCAUAGCCUUCGCGAUAGCUUCAUCGAUAUUACCUACCAAAUAAAAGGCCUCUUCAGGGAGACCAUCUAAUUCUCCAGAAAGGAUCAAUUGAAAUCCUCGAAUUGUUUUUGCUAGACCAACAUAUUUCCCUAGAGAACCAGUAAUACUUCUGCUACGAAAAAGGGUUGUGAUAAGAAACGCUCAAUUUCUCAUGCUCUUGCUACGAGUAAAUGAUCCUCUUUGGAUAAUUCGUCCAAUCCAAGGAUAGCUAUAAUGUCCUAAAGUUUUUUGGGCAGUUUCGUAAUGUUCCUCAUCAACGAUCCAAGGUUGAAGCAUGGUUGACGUUGAAUCUAAAGGAUCUACUGCUGGAUAAAUACCUUUGGUAGCCAAUCCUCUUGAUAGUACGGUAGUAGCAUCUAAAUGUACAAAUGUCGUAGCAGGAGCAGGGUCGGUCAAAUCGUUUGCGGGUACAUAAACUUCUUGAAUAGAGGUUAUGGACCCUUCUUUGGUAGAAGUAAUUCUUUCUUGUAAAGAACCCAUUUCAGUACUUUGGGUCGGUUGAUAACCCACAGCGGAAGGCAUUCUACCCAAUAAGGACGAUACUUCGGAUCCUGCUUGGACGAAAUGGAAAAUAUUGUUAAUAAAUAGAAGUACGUCUUGCUCAUUGACAUCUCGAAGAUAUUCUGCCAUAGUUAGGGCAGUCAAACCAACUCUCAUACGAGCUCCUGGUGGUUCAUUCAUCUGACCGUAAACUAGGGCCACUUUUGAUUCUACAAUAUUUUCUUCAUUAAUCACUCCAGAUUCUUUCAUUUCCAUGUAAAGAUCAUUUCCUUCCCGAGUACGUUCACCCACUCCGCCAAAUACGGAUACACCCCCGUGAGCUUUAGCAGUAUUGUUAAUCAAUUCCAUAAUGAGUACUAUUUUACCCACUCCAGCUCCCCCGAAUAGUCCGAUUUUUCCUCCAUAGCGAUAAGGGGCUAAAAGAUCUACUACUUUAAUUCCUGUUUCAAAAAUAGAUAAUUUUGUAUCCAGUUGUAUAAAGGCGGGCGCAGAUCUAUGUAUAGGAGACGUUGUACUGGUAUCUACAGGCCCUAAAUUAUCAAUAGGCCCUCCGAGCACGUUAAAAAUUCAUCCCAGAGUCGUUCCCCUGACCGGAACACUUAUAGGAGCUCCUGUGUCAAUUACUUCCAUUCCUCUCGUUAAACCGUCUGUAGCACUCAUAGCUACAACUCUAACUCGAUUAUUUCCUAAUAAUUGUUGUACCUCACAAGCCACAUUAAUUGUUUUACCAACACUAUCUCGACCUUGAAUUACGAGAGCGUUAUAAAUAUUUGGCAUCUUGCCCAGGGGAAAGGCUACAUCUAUUACCGGACCGAUGAUUUGGACGACACGCCCCAGGUUUUUUUUUUCAAGCGUGGAAACCCCAGAACCAUAAGUAUUAGGAUUGAUUCUCAUAAUAAUAAAAUAAAUAAAUAUGUCAAAAUGUUUUUUCAAAAAUUAUCGAAUUCAAAGUAAAUGUCCGCUAGCACGUCGAUCGGUUAAUUCAAUAAAAUGGGAAUUAGCACUCGAUUUCGUUGGCACCAUGCAAUUGAACCAAUUCAAUUGUUUACUUAUUCAAUGAGAUUGAGUUAAUUUGCAAGCUCACCCAACCUAUUUUAAUUUAAAAAUCUCAAGUGGAUGAAUCAGAAUCUUGAGAAAGUCUUUCAUUUGUCUAUCAUUAUAGACAAUCCCAUCCAUAUUAUCUAUUCUAUGGAAUUCGAACCUGAACUUUAUUUUAUAUUUCUAUUACGAUUCACUAUUUGGAUCUAAUGGGCUCCUCUUCUUAUUUUUCUUAUUUAUUUUUUAGUUAAAUUUCAGCAUAUUGAUUUAUGCCUAGCCUAUUCUUUUCUUUGCGUUUUUCUUUCUUUUUUAUACCUUUCAUAGCGGAAUUCCAUAUAUUUUCACAUUUAGGAUUUACAUAUACAACAUAUACCACUGUCAAGGGGGAAGUUCUUAUUAUUUAGUUUAGUUAGGUAUUUCCAUUUCAAAAAAAAAAAGGUAAAAAAUAAAAAUUGGGUUGCGCUAUAUAUAUGAAAGAGUAUACAAUAAUGAUGUAUUUGGCAAAUCAAAUACCAUGGUCUAAUAAUCAACCAUUCUGAUUAAUUGAUAAUAUUAGUAUUAGUUGGAAAUUUUCUGAAAGAUUCCUGUGAAAAGUUUCAUUAACGCGUAAUUCGUGUCGAGUAGACCUUGUUGUUGUGAGAAUUCUUAAUUCAUGAGUUGUAGGGAGGGAUUUAUGUCACCACAAACAGAGACUAAAGAAAGUGUUGGAUUCAAAGAUGGUGUUAAAGAGUACAAAUUGACUUAUUAUACUCUUGAGUACCAAACCAAGGAUACUGAUAUAUUGGUAGCAUUCUGAGUAACUCCUCAACCUGGAGUUCCACCUGAAGAAGCAGGGGCCGCGGUAGCUGCUGAAUCUUCGACUGGUACAUGGACAACUGUAUGGACCGAUGGACUUACCAUUCUUGAUCGCUACAAAGGGCGAUGCUACCACAUCAAGCGUUUUGUUGGAGAAAAAGAUCAAUAAAUUGCUUAUGUAGCAUAACCUUUAGACCUUUUUGAAGAAGGUUCCGUUACCAACAUAUUUACUUCCAUUGUAGGUAAUGUAUUUGGGUUCAAAGCCCUGUGCGCUCUACGUCUGGAAGAUCUGUGAGUCCCUACUGCUUAUAUUAAAACUUUCCAAGGUCCGCCUCAUGGGAUCCAAGUUGAAAGAGAUAAAUUGAACAAGUACGGUCGUCCCUUGUUGGGAUGUACUAUUAAACCUAAAUUGGGGUUAUCUGCUAAAAACUACGGUAGAGCUAUUUAUGAAUGUCUUCGCGGCAGACUUGAUUUUACCAAAGAUUAUGAGAAUGUGAACUCACAACCAUUUAUUCAUUGGAGAGAUCGUUUCUUAUUUUGUUCCGAAGCACUUUGUAAAGCACAGACUGAAACAGGUGAAAUCAAAGGGCAUUACUUGAAUGCUACUGCAGGUAUAUGCGAAGAAAUGAUGAAAAGAGUUGUAUUGUCUAGAGAAUUGGGCGUCCCAAUCGUAAUGCAUGACUACUUAAUGGGGGGAUUCACCGCAAAUACUAGCUUGGCUCAUUAUUGCCGAGAUAAUGGUCUACUUCUUUCACUACUUAUGCCUUAUAGCGUAGCGAUAAAAAUAAGCUUCUUCUGGGACCGGAACAUGGAGACCAAAAAGUUUUGACUUACUGCCACACCUUGCUUUUCCUUUAUUACUAUUACGUUCUGCCCUUACAUCGUAAAAGUAAGGGUUAAGCUAUAGAACUAGAUACGUAAGAGAAAGAGAGGAGAGCAGAACUUUACUUCUCUGCUGAGGCAUAAGCAAUAGCAAAAAAUCUCUAACGUUGUAGUUUAAGAGGUCCGCUGUCUAACAUCUUUCGUAUAUUGUUCAUGUUCGUUUCCAAGGUAGAUCAUUUUCUUUGCCUUGAAAGAUGUUGCGUAUAAAGAGAAAGAUAGCCAGUCCUCUUGGGCGGCCAAGAGUGUUAUGUAAAAAGGACCAAGGAGGAUCCUAUCCGUCAGGAGAAGGAGGAGGAGUAGGAGCUAGCCUUAGGGGUGGAAUCAAAGCGAAGAAAUUCAUUUAUGCCACGAUGAUCUAUAUGGAAGGGCAGUUUUGUUGAUGCAUUCCUCUUGAGAAUGAAGAAGAAGGGAAAUCUUCUUUUUAACAGGAAAAUUUGGUCACGUAGAUCUUCUAUUUCGCCCGAAUUCGUUGAUUGCUCCGUACGAAUUUACAAUGGAAAAACUCCUGUUCGUUGUAAGAUUACUGAAGUAAAGGUUGGUCAUAAAUUUGGAGAGUUUUCUUCUACACGAAAACGAAGACCUUCGAGAACAAAUAUUGGACCGGGAAGAAAAAGGGGGAAAAAGUAAAGUCUAAGCGCAUAUGGCACGAAAAGGAAAUCCAAUUUCAAUAAGACUUGAUCUGAAUCGUAGUUCAGAUUCAAGUUGGUAUAUUGAGGCCGACCACGAAAUUCACCGAAUGGGUCAGUCUUUUAGUUCUCCCAGAUUAGAAUAUCAAAAGAGGACGUUGCAGAUGCCCGGGGCGGACACGACUUCUUCUAAGGCUAGAAGACCAAUGGAAGACACCCAGGACUAUAGCAUGUCAUGAAAAAAGCACACUGGAUGGGCGUGCUUCGAAUGUGUCUCUGGGGCAUAGUUGAAUGUAGAUAUCAUGAACGCGAGGUGUAGGAUACCAGGUCGAGAAACCUGGGCAACCAUUCCCCUAUGUUCCAAUCGCUAGCGCAUCUAUGGCCCCGGCGCCCAGCUCAGCUAGAGAGGCCUCACCUGAUCUGAGAAGUGCUAAUUUGGUUCGGAUAGACUUCAUUCAAGAAUACCACCGCACCAGGAAUCAAUAAGAAAACAAGUGCUGACGUUUCAGAUCAGUGAAUAAACCGAAAGGAAAGGAAAGAAAAGACCUUUCUCCCUCAACGCCUAAAGCGCACUAUGCUCUGCUUUAAUAAAUGAGAGUUUUUGGUGGAACUGGUGAACCACACAAGCUAGUUAGAUACGUGGGACUGAGGGAUCGUAGUACCUAUUAGCGCGGUUACGCAGUGAAAGAGAAGGAGCCUAAAUUGACCUCCUUCUUUUUUUCUUUGAAAAAAGCAGUAAGGAGUAAGGAGAUUAAACUCUCAGAUGAGACUAAGCAGCUACCGACCGUUCCGAUGUGUCCUUGACCUAUUUUGAUGUUGACCAAAAACCUAUCUCUAAAGUGAAGCCUAGUUUAAGCUGUCAAACAAGUGAUGAUUGAAUGAAAGAAAAACCACUAGUAGGGAUAUGGAUGGAGUCUCGCUCAGUAAAGAGAGUUGUAGGAUUUGUAAAUCAGGAGAAGAGCAUCUCAAAGUAUGGGGCAAAGGAUGUUGCAUUUUGACUGUCUCCCUUGAUCCACCACAGGUUGGGUUUGAGAGCCGUGUGAUGGGUGACUAUCCAGCACAGUUCGGAGAGCACUUUCAGACUGCGCUGGUGAAUGGAAGCCCCCCCUAUCAAGCAAGAAGGAAGCGGAUCUUCCCACGGCGAAGUCACCAUUGACUCUAUUUAUUAUUAUGGUAAAUCAGUGUAUCAAGAUGUUAAUCUGAGAUCUUAUUUUGGUUCGAUACGUCCACCUAAGAGACUCACCUUUGGCUUCGUCUAGGUAGGUGUAUUAUUAUACAUUUUUCCAAAAUAACAUUCAUUAAUUUCUUUCUUCCCCGUCGACCACGAAGACUGAAACGACGCAAAAAAUCCAAACCAGUAAAGGAGAAAGGCCGGUGGGGGGGCAUUUGGGAAAGUUGGGCCGAUCGGGUGUCUUCAUUCAAGCGACAGUACAGAAGAAGAACUCAACAAAGUGAGAGGCCGGGGGGCAGGGAAAAGAGUCGAGUCGAUCAGGCUUGACGAUCAGGAGAAGCAAAACGAAGUCAGGAUUUGGCCAAAAAAAGAAAGGCUAUGGAUACCAUGACCGAUCACCAUCGAUAAAGAAGAAUCUUUCUAAAGCACUUCAUGUCAGCGGGCCUUCAAGCAUCCGAAAUAUGCCGGGAUUGAAAAUGACAUAGCGUUCCUGAUAGAAAAUGAUGACUCCUUCAGAAAAACAAACUUAUUCAAGUUCUUUUUCCCAAAGAAGUCCCGCUCCGACCGCCCAACGAGUCAUCUACUUAAAUGGACCCUCUCCGCAGUCCGCCCUUCCUUAAAUUAUUCGGCCAUGCAAUACUAAUUGAAUACAAAGAAGAAAAUGCAUUUCGACCCCGUCGUAGUUCUCAAUCAUUUCGUGGCACCGGGCGUGGCUGAACCAUCUACAAUUGGGGGAGCUAAUGCACAGGGAAGAAGCUUAGAUAAAAGAAUACGUUCUUGCAUCGCUUUUUUUGUAGAAAGCUCAACCAGCGAGAAAAAGUGUUUGGCCGAAGCCAAAAAGAGGGUGACCCACUUUAUUCGCCAAGCGAAUGAUCUUCGCUUCGCGGGAACAACAAAAACCACCAUCUCGCUCUUUCCUUUCUUCGGUGCUACCUUUUUUUUCCAAGGGAUGGGGUGUAUAAUAACCUUUUUUUUAGGAUGCCCGGGAACAACUCCUAGGUCAAUUAAGGAGAAAAUGUUGGAACCUCAUGGGUAAGGAUGAGGUAAUGGAAUUGAUAGAGAAAUUCAUAGACCUAAAUAAGAUAAGAGAAUUGAUAAGGGGAAUAGAGAUGAUGAUAGAGAUCAUAUUGAGAAACAGAAGAAUUUCGUAUGGGUACAACUAUUAUUUGAAUGAAGUGAAAAAAAUGCGAUCUUUGUUGUAGAAUAGAACAAACACUAAUACCUUAAUUGAAUCAUUUAAGAUCAAAUUUGUUUAUCAAAGCGCUUCUCCGAUUGCUCAAGACAUCUCUUUUCAACCAAGGAACAAAACAAGAUCAUUUCGUUCCAUUUUUAGUAAAAUAGUGAAGGAUAUUCCAUUAGUAAUGAAAAAAGGGGUGGAGGGGAUCUGUAUAUGUUGUUCAGGUCGAUUAGAAGGUGCAGAAAUAGCUAGAACUGAAUGCGGAAAGUAUGGAAAAACAUCUCGUAAUGUAUUUAACCAGAAAAUAUAUUAUGCUCCUGCGGAAGUAUCUACUCGUUACGGAAUCUCAAGUGUCAAAGUGUGGAUUUCAUAUAGUCAAAAAAAGGGGGGACAUUCUAUAUCCAAAACGUACGAAAUAUAGUAAAUAUCGUAAAGGCAGAUGUGGUAGGGGUUGUAAAUCGGUCGGUACACAACUUGGUUUUGGAAGAUAUGGCACUCAAAGUUAUAGAGCUGGUCGUCUUUCAUAUCGAGCCAUUGAAGCAGCGCGUCGUGCUAUAAUCGGACACUUCCAUCAUGCUAUACAAUUCUGAAGAAAUGGUAAGAUAUGGGUUAGAGUUCUCGUAGAUAUCCCUAUUACUGGGAAACCUACAGAAGUAAGAAUGGGAAGAGAAAAAGGAAAUCCUACGGGUUGGAUUGCUCGUGUGUCCAGGGUACAAAUUUUAUUUGAAAUAGAUGGUGUGAGUUUGUCAAAUGCUCGACAAGCCACUACAUUAGCGGCGCAUAAACUAUGUUCGUCAACCAAGUUUGUUCAGUGGUCGUAAGCUUAUUAAUCCGACCCAAAUUGGUACACGCCAAUUCCAUUUCUCCGGAUUGAAAGAGCCAUCAAUCACUAUGAUCUCUUUCGUCAAAAAAGAAAUUGCAUAAAUUCUGCCUUUUUUGAACCCAUGCUUUCCGUUGGUCAACAACCAACCAAAGUUCUCUAUACUUCUUCACUACUCGUACAGGGAAGGUGGAAGAAAUUCAGUCUCUCUUUUUUGGAGCAGAGCAGUCAAAGAAUGAACCAAACCAAAUGAUUGUUCUAGAAUGGCUAUUCCUCACAAUUGAUCCUUGUGAUGUAACGGAACUAUGGCAAUUAGGAUCUCAAGAUGCAGCAACACCUAUAAUGCAAGAAACAACGACUUACAUCACGAUGUCCUUUUCUUCGUUAUUCUAAUUUUGGUUUUCAUAUCAUGGAUCUUGGGUCACGCUUUAUGGCAUUUCCACUAUAAAAAAAUCCAAUCUCGCAAAGGAUUGUUCAUGGAACUACUAUCGAGAUUCUUCGGACCAUAUUUCCUAGUAUCAUCCCUAUGUUCAUUGCUAUACCAUCAUUUGCUCUGUUAUACUCAAUGGACGAGGUAGUAGUAGAUCCAGCCAUUACUAUAAAAGCUAUUGGACAUCAAUGGUAUUGGAGUGCGCCUCUUUACGAGGGUGAUUAAAGUGCAACAAAAUACCUUAAAGUUGAAUAUGGUUCAUGAAGCAUCUGGCUUACCGGUAAUCUCCCAUUCCCGCCAUCGAGAGACUUUAAUAACUAUAGCAUGCCAGAAAUGGGGAGUUGAGGUGGUUAGACCUAUACCCCGAAAUGCUCCCAGCAUAGGAGACUAUGGUUCCAUUGUUGUUGUUGCUGGAGGUACACAUCCCUUUUCUCGGUGUGGAACGAUAUACAAGAAAUAGAUGCUCAGCCUGCAAUGUCUGAUAACGGCGCUGAAGUAGUGAAUCUAUCAGUACCAUAGCAGUGGUAUACAACUUUAGACCUAAUGGCCGGCCUAGUAACCUUUCGGAAUGGGGGAUCCCUGUUGGCAACAACUACGGUAGUAGUUGCGGAACUACUGGGCUAGGAGAGUAGCGGAAAGCCACUUGACUGGUUGGAGAGGACAACCUUUUGUUCCUGCUUCUCUUUCUUCGCUUCGAGGAUGGAGGUCCUACGGUAGGUAAUAGCAGGCACAAGUAAGUUGACCGAAGGGGACCAACGCUUCUACUCCUCCACCGAGGAGCCGUUCUUGCAAGAAGAAAGGGAUUUUGUGAACGGUGGGAGGUCAUAGAGAAUUGACCUAUUCAUAGAGUGAUCCUAUGAUCGAUACAGGAUAUAGACUAUCUCAUUCUUUAUUCUAUUCUAUUUCUAAAAAAAAGAAGGGUGACUCAACUUCUCAGCUAGAGUUGGUGGUGGGACCUGUUGGCAUAAUGCACACUGGAACAUGGGAAUUCGAGGUUGGGAGAACUACCUAACUAAAGAAAAAUAGUGUUCUUUCUAAGUGUAGGCGUGGAGAGCUCUUUGCGGGGAAACUUGCAAGUACAAUUUGGAGGGAGGCGGGCGUCGACCCUACCUUAUGAGUAUUUAGACUAUAACAGUUCCAAUGAAUAGUCACUCACUUUUGACAAUUAUACGAUUCCAGAAGAUGAUCUAGAAUUGGGUCAAUCAUGUUUAUUAGAAGUCGACAAUAGAGUGGUUCUACCAGCAAAGAGCCAUAUAUGUUUUAUUGUAACAUCUGCUGAUGUACCUCAUAGUUGGGUUGCACUUUCCUUAGGUGUCAAAUGUGAUGCUAUACUUGGUCGUUUAAAUCAGACCUCUAUUUUGGUACAACGGGAAAGAUUUUACUAUGGUCAGUACAGUGAGAUUUGUGGAACUAAUCAUGCCUUUAUGCCAAUCAUCGUAGAAGCUGUUCCUAAGAAAGAUUAUGGGUCUCGGGUAUCCAAUCAAUUAAUCCCAUAAAGUGCGGAAGCUUAAGCGGAAAUGAAAGGGGAGGUUGAGGGAAGCCACUAAAUUGAGGGCUUUACUCGCUCGCUCUAACAAUCAUUUAGUAGACAGCGAGUGGAGUGCAUAAGCCCCUUUAGAGAUAGGGGUGAGUACUACAUGAGCUCGUAAGUAAAGUACAGAACGAGCCUUGUCUAUGAAGCAGAGCGACCUUAUCUUGCUUGCUUCUGGCGAAGCUUCUAUCUCUAAAUAAUAGGAAUUCAGGUAUGGCAGGAAUACUGUCGACUGUUACGAGUGAUAGCGAAGCCAAGCUAUAUAAAGGAGAUCAUCCCUUAUAGCAAUAGCAAACGGCCUACUUAUAGCCUAUCAACAGGUCAGUCAAUAUCAGUAGGGGUCCUCUUGCCUAACGGAGUCAGCCCAACAUGGACAAUGAUAGGCAUACCAAAGAUUUACACAGUCCUUGCGUGCUUGCUUUCCGCAUCGGCAUAGCUGAAUUCGAAUCUGCUGGCUCAGAUGAGUGGCUAUUGGCUUUGUAAACAUAUCUAUGUUCUUGCAUUUUCACUACCAAUGAGUAGGCAACUUUGGAUGCUUACGGAGAUAUGGCUUUGGUAAAGAUCUGAUUAGCGUAUGCUUUCUCGGGUGCUACUUAGAAUAGAGAUAGUCAGACUCUAACUUGAGAAUGUUAUAGCACUGUGAAAUAAGGACAUUCUGAUCUACCUAAUUGGCUCUUAUUCUGGUUUGGUGGAAAGGUGAAAAGCACAAAAUCUUUCUUCCUGGUUGGUGUACUAGGGUGAUAUAAUCCCAACCCCUUCGUUAGCUAGCUUAGCUUUCCCACUUUUCAAUCUAUAUCAGAUCAUCCUUAGCUUUCCUUUAGCUGCUACUUUUUCCCAGUCCACACACAAUCAGAGUAGUCAGUGUGCCUGCUCUGUCCUUCUUUGACGAAAUGGAUGCUGUAGGAGAGGUUGGGAAGGAGGUACUUUGCUAAAGAGGUUCUGUCUGUGCGCGAGGAAGGUCUUUUUUCUUUCUCCUUCCAUUGCUUGACUAGGUUCGCUUUGCAAGAAAGGGAAGGCAUCUGUGCAGGUAGAAAAAGGCAUAGGUCAAGCUAUGGGCACAAGGAAGUAAGGUAUAGUAAGUUACUUCUUCAUCUUUUGCUUGUCAUUGGAUUGGAAACCGCAGGCUAUGCCUUCUUGCUUGUGUAGUUGGCCUUGCCUGCUUAGUGCGGAAGUGUGUAAAGUAGGCUCAUUCUUUGGUUUAUAAAGAUCUUGUAGUAGCCGAAGGUAGUUCGCUUGUUAGAUUGAAUUGAAUCUUAUAUAACAACACAACCGGGGCCUUAUUAAUUUAGAGACUUUAUCAAUAGUAUAAAUGGACCUCUCAAAGGUAUAAGUAGACAUUAGUCAUGCUGGUUCGGGCGGUAAGGCCCUGGGUAAGCUCGGGUUAGCCUGUCAGGGUGAAUGCAGGUAGUGGAUGUAGCUUUUCUUCUGAAGCGUCUUAGUUCGUAGCUGCUGAAGUAUAGCAUUGAGGUGAGGAGCGUGCUAGCUAGGUGGAGUCUCCUUUCGGAACUACUUAUUUUCCUUUCUUUCUUUGCUAUCCCAUCCACUGAACUGUCAGUAUCGAGGCAAGUUCGGAAUGUUGUCUAAGCGUAGACUAGUCUGUUCAGGCAGUCACAGGCUUGAUAAAGCUAAAAAUGGAACAACACUUCUCACUGAUUACAUCAGAAGCGAAAUCCUCAACUUCAAAUACAAUGCGAGCUGGAACGGGGUUGCCUUAGCUACUGUGGUGUACAUAUGCCAGGAAUUGCACCAUAGCCCGAGUCGAUUGAGGGCUAGAUCUUGAUUUAGAAAGGAGCUCUCAAGCUGAGGUGGAGAAGAAAGCUUACGAUUCUAUUGGUGUGAAGUGAGCUCUAACAAUCACAACGGCUAAAGGAGCUUGCUUUGGUGACCCUACGAGGAACUUUUGCUCAUUAAAGUCAGCUUCAAACUUUCAGUAACUACUUAUCCCAAGUUAGGUGGGCUUAGAUAAAAAUAUAGGCAUCUUUUGUCUAUAUCAAUCCUUCGAUAAAGCACUCAAACCAACGAGUAAGGAAAGGAGGCCUUGAGUUGAUAUUUAAAAGAAGGAGUUCGUCCUGGUGUGCUACUUCCUUUCCUACCAAUACUUUUUGAGUAGAAACUUCUCUUUGGUUUAAUUCAUAUUCAACUUUCUCUAGCGGAAUUAGACUUUCAUUUCUAUUUCUUCAAAUCCAGCAUGACAUGUGUCAAGAAUCAAAGAAAAGUUCGAAAAUUGGCGAAUUCAAUGUUUCCAUAUCCCUCCGGGCAGGAAAUCAUAUAUUGAAUAGAGGGUACUCCACCUCUGUAGAGGAUAAAACACAUUGAAAUAAAGGAAUUGGUGGAUCUCUCCCAUCAGACAGAUCAACGGCACCAGGCAUGGGAUACACAGGCAGGAGAGCCGAUUUGAUCGAGCAGACCAAAUGAGCAAAAUUUUUUUAACGUGAAAGCCUUGUGCCAACUUGCGUACAAGAUUUAUAUGUGGAUUUGAUACUAUAGUCAAACCCUCUUCAUAAUUCCUUUCUUAUAAGAUAUUGAAGGUCUAUUGGCUUUCUUGCUUAUGCGGUACUUCGAAGGCUAAGCCUCGUUUAUGCACCGAGAAAGAUCAUCGGUCGGAAAGCUCUGUUAUAUACCAACGACGGCCCCUUCUCUUUACCUUUCCCAUGCCCUACCUCAUUCCUUUGCUGGCUUGAAUUCCAUCUCUUUUCUUCUUUGUUUGUGAGAGUUACUCAUAGGACGACACACCCGUAGACCAAGACUUAAACAGAUAGAAUCGUACUACCGCUGUCGAUGCCGGUGCUGCUUGCCGACAGCCCUUCGCUUACUUCUCUGGAGUCAACAAUGCCGCUUUUUCCAUCACGGAAACUGCUCACUGUGCCCGGGUCAAGGAGAUUCGAUUUGCUUGGUUGGGUUCUUUGCUUGCUUAUUCCACUUCUUAAUCAUCCUUCAUUUCACUAAUUCGUAUUAACAUGGACCUAAGAUGAAUUAGAUAGGUUUUACACUUUUCUCAAAGAAAGAGGAAAUAGCAAAGAAUUAUUCGGCGUGUAGUGAACUGCCAGAUAGAUCAGUACAACUAGGGAUGUCGUUGAAACUCGAGCAAAGGCUUCGAAUUCUGCGAAUUGCGCUAGUUAGAAUUUUCAUUUACUAGCUACUUGUUUUAUGGCUUUUAUUUGAGCUGCAGACCCCACUCUGGAAAGGGAGAUACCCAUAUUAAUAGCAGGUCUGAUUCCAGAAUUGAAUAGGUUGGCGGAUAAGAAGAUUUGUUCAUCAGUAAUGGAAAUUACAUUAGUAGGAAUAUAAGCCGAAACAUCUCCCGAUUGAGUUUCAAAUAUUGGUACGGAGGUCAUACUUCCUUCACCUAAACUCGAACUAAAUUUAGCGGCUCUUUCCAAAAGGCGUGAAUGCAAAUAAAAAACAUCUCCUGGAUAAGCUUCACGACCGGGCGGUCUUCGUAAUAGAAGAGACAUUUGGCGAUAAGCUUGCGCUUGUUUGGAGAGAUCAUCAUAAAUGAUUAAAGUGUGUCAUUCACGAUACAAAAAAUAUUCAGCCAGAGCUGCUCCUGUAUAAGGAGCAAGGUAUUGUAAUGUAGCAGGGGAAUCCGCCGUUUUGGCUACCACAAUAGUGUAUUCCAUCGCUUUCCUUUCCUGUAAAGUCGUUACUACCUGGGCCACAGAAGACGCUUUUUGCCCAAUAGCUACAUAAACAUAUAAAUCAUUUUGACCUUGUUGAUUGAGAAUGGUGUCUGUGGCUACUACUGUUUUACCGGUCUGUCUGUCCCCAAUAAUGAAUUCUCACUGACCACGUCCUAUAGCGAUCAUUGAAUCAAUAGUAAUAAGCCUAGUUUGAAGAGGCUCAUAUACAGAACGACGUGAAAUAAUACCCAGGGUGGAAGAUUCAAUUAAUCGAAAUUCAGAAUCUAAAAUUUCACCUCUACCAUCAAUUGGUUUAGCCAGGGCAUUUACAACACAACCUAAAUAAGCCUCACUUACGGGUAUCUGAGCAAUUCUUCCCCUUGAUUUCGAGCCGGAGUUUGCUUGUUUUAGUCCAUACAAGGCCUUCCUGAUGAGACUUUGCUAUUCAUUCCAGAAGUUACUAUGCUUCGCACUCUCCUUGACAGAGAUAUUUCAACCUAUCUGAUCGUGACUUUGUUAACCCGCUUCGUCGCAUGAUAGAGAAAGGAAAAGCGACCCCAUGCCCUACCUUUGCUUAGUAAGAAAUUGGUGAAGGCAUCGGGAUUGGACUAAAACUAUGCCAUUCAAGAAGCGACUGAUCGAUGGAAAGCUUCAAACAACACCAUUGGUAAAUAUCCUAUAGUAGGGUCAGGGGCGUUAGCGAGAGCGUCUCUGAACCUGUUUUCCUCUUGUCUUUAGCUCAAGCAAUUUCUCUCUCUUCGAGUAACUUACAAUAAAUCUUUGGUAAUAGAAAAUGAGUCCUUAAAAUGAUCUUAGCUCACACACGUUGGUGGGUGCUUGCUACUCCUCGAUGGCUCUGAUGCCCAUCUAAUGCCCUAUUUCGAGGAUCUCCGUUUGUUUAAAUGAGCAUUUGUCUUUACAUAACAUAGAGGGGAUUUUUCUUUAAUACCUUAAAAAUGGUCCGAAGGUGGUGGAAGUGGUCGUUUAAUGAAUAUCUAUAGUCCACGAUUAAAGUAUACUACCAGUCGUCUAAGUACGGGUGGAAUAACUCAUUGUGGAGAGAGCAGAACGUGGCAGGGGUAUUGGUGAGUCCAAAAGGCAUAACCAGAUCAAACACCCCCGGUCAUUCUGGCAGCUUAAACUGAAAAUAGGAAAAGAUAUGAGAAUCAAAAGAAGUCUAUACCUGCAGAUGAAAGAGGAGCUUCUACGUGAACAUUUCACACAGUGCUUUCUCCUCCAACAGUUAAGUAACUAGCACUGGUUAUUCCAGAAAGAGCUCUUACUCUAACAGAACUAGGACCGUCAACUCCAAUUGUAGUAGCGGGAAUGUCAGAACCACUAGAUAUGGCAUUAAUAGCUUCUAUUACAUUGACGGUUGGAAAUGGAGAGCAUGCGCAGAAUAUAAUAGCUUGAACCGCUUAGGCUCUUUGCACCUAAAUAAAUAGUAGACACGCAAAAAAAUAAGACGUGAAACUUAUAGAGUCGUAUCCUUCUAAGACUUUCUUCUCCAACUCACUCAAUCGAUAGGUUGAGGCAAUCAAUUGGAAAUCGACCAAAAGGACCUGUCAAUCCUUAGAAGUCAAAGCAUGCAUCACAUAUCAUCAUGCAUAGCUUAUUAGCUGUAGUAGCUGCAUAGGAAACAUAAAACAUAUAGUACUUUUCUCCAUUGUCAUGCAUCAAAUGGUUGUCUCUCCUCUCUCAAAGUAGGCGAACUUCAUGGAAGAUCAAGAGAAGCGAGAACGGGAACUCCUAGAGCUGCUGGAGCGCCUAACCCGGCUGUUACCUCCUUCUACCGUCGCCCGCCUCUGAUCAGCAUUCCAAUACUCUGAAGCACACAUCAGAUAUGCAGAGUAGUAAUUGGCAUAUCCAUUCUCUCUCCACAAUGGCAAGCUCCUGGUUCACACCUAGAUCUGGCCGAAGAAUAGCAUAAGAAAGAUCUCGACGGCUCUGGGAAUAUACCACUCCCGAUACUCUUCCUUCGUCACCUCUAUCUCUAAAUCAACGGUUUGAUAUGAUGAAUUGAAUAUCAUUACCAAUGAUUACAAUUUCAUCAAUAUAUACUAAAAUAAAAAACAGAAUAGUUUCCACGUCGACGAGUAAAAAGGGACUGCCUGGGAUUAAAGAAAACCAGCAUCCACAGAAGCAAUUUGGCAAACCCAUUUUGGGACGCUUGUUUAAGUCCAUAAAGGGACUGAUUCAGGUGGAAAACUAAGUUCUCCCCCUGUGGAGAAUAUCCGUGAGGGAGAUACAUGUAUACUUCCUUUUUUGGAACAUGUUAAGGCUUUACGCUCUAACUCACCUUCACAACUCUAGGUGUCGUCGCGCCUAAGUUAUCAUUCUUUUUCCACUGUCUGAUUGCAGUAGGGGGUCACGUAGGAUGGUUAAGCCAGGAGAAGGACCGAUACUUUGCUUAGCCAACACAUCUUCACAUUACCUUCCCUCCAAAUAUGUCUCAAUUUAUAUCUCCAACCCCUUCUCAUUAGCUCUCUGAUUCUCAGGAUAAUAUUGAAAUAUGGAUCCUCAGGCCAGCCAUUGUGCAGCUUCUAUAUAGAAACCAGGGAGUCCAUCUCAACCUGAAUGAGUCUACAACUCUCCUUCUAGAAGCUAGUAGUUUGGUUAAAAAGAGAUAAUCAGAAGAAAAUGUUCGGGCAGGGAUGCACAACAGGAACUUGCAAAGCCAACAGAAGAGAAAAGAAAUAUGUUCACCCUCGGCAAUACGCACUUGAUAAUAUCCCAAAAAUCCUUUUUCAUUGCUCUCAGCGCAUCAAUUCGAAUAGUGUUGUUUAAAAAUCUUAAUCAGCUUUAAGGUAAAGAUGAAAUUCAAGCUCAUAAGAAGCUCUUGUCACCAACUACAUCGAAAAAUAGAAGAAAAUUUGAAUUGGACGUAGAUAGCCUUUUUCAUCUUUUCUGAUUUUGAUAGGCAUCCCACCCUCACCUCAAGAUGAGAGGACUUCUUUGAGCCCUAAGAUUUAUUCCCUUCGCAAGUGACCUGAAAGCAGGGAAGGCACUUUAAGAAGGUGCCAGUUGACUUCUAGUUGUAGCGGAUCUUACAUCGGUUCUAGCACUUUCUCUUGAUUCUAUUUUUGAAAGAUCUUUCCUUGCUCUGAGGAAUGCCCGAUUUAACCAGAAUCAUCUCGUUAUCUUUUAGAGUCAUCUCGAGAUCUUUGGCUUACGCCAUGUGCUCCAAACUUGAACUCAACUUCCUUUUUUCACCAACAUUUGCUUCUCACUCAAGAAACUGGUGAAAGUCUUUUCCCUUUGCUGCAGCUUUCACAGUCCCACUCCUCCUCAGACCAGACUGGGCUGCAUUGCCAUACCUUCAUACCUUCACCCCGAUGUCCUAUCUUAAGGUUCCCCCGAGCUACGUUAUUAAAGAGGACUUUUGCUCAUCGUCUGCGUCUUUAGUCAAAAGCUGUUUCUUUUAUGAUUCCUUCUCUCACUUCUUGAAGAAUUUAUUUUUCAUUCAAUAGAGUCUCUCCUAUAAGAGAAGGAGCUUUCUUCACCCCUACGUACGAUAGGCCCUUCUUCAAUGAGUGCCCUUUCCCCAGCCUCUAAUCGUCUUAGAAGAGAAGACUAAGCUCAGACAAAUUAUAGUUCGCCUCGGCCCCUCCUUAGUGACUUUGGUCAGGAAAGGGAAUAGGGCAAUAAAUAGAGCUUCAGCUCAGAAUUAUACCUUCAGUAGAUGGAACUUCAGACUUCUAGAUAGGCCUGAGAAAGCCUAGACCAAAGGUGCCUAAUAGCCUAUCCAAACUCAUCGGGUAGGGAAUCCCAUCCUCAGUGAAGCCAGUAAGCAAGCCCAAGUCCACAUAAGAAGGCCCGCUGGAUCUAUCCAAAUUCAAAGCCUAUAGAGAUGAAGGCCAAAGCAUUGACUGAAGAGGGGGGCAAAGAGAUAUUAGCCUUUGACUUCUUCUCUGCCUACUGACUGCUACUCGGCUAGAUGCUCCUAUUUCUUAUUCAUAGAUCGUAGAUUAAGAUGUUAUUAGGUAAGGAAAUUCAGUCCUUUCAUUCCUUUCUGAGAAUAGAUCCCCAAUAGCUCAUAGAUAAGGAAUUCUUCCGCUACGACCCUUAGGCGAGCUAAUCAGUCUUGCUUUGCCAAAAAAUCCCUCUUCACUCCCCCUUUUUUAAUAAAUAAGCCUCGCAGGCCCCUCACUGACAAGGAAGGAAACAAAAUAAUCUCAAUUUUAUGACAAAUCCGGUCUGAUGGAUUUUCUCCACUAACCACAAGGAUAUAGGGACUCUUUAUUUCAUCUUCGGUGCCACUGCUGAAGUGAUGGGAUCAUGCUUCUCAGUACUGAUUCGUAUGGAUUUAGCACGACUCAGCGAUCAAAUUCUUGGUUGGAAUCAUCAACUUUAUAAUCUUUUAAUAACGGCUUAUGCUUUUUUAAUGAUCUUUUUUAUGGUUAUGCCGGCGAUGAUAGGUGAAUCUGGUAAUUGGUCUGUUCCAAUUCUGAUAGGUGCGCCUGACAUGGAAUUUCCAUGAUUAAAUAAUAUUUCAUUCUAGUUGUUGCCUCCAAGUCUCUUGCUCCUAUUAAGCUCAGCCUUAGUAGAAGUGGGUAGCGGCACUAGGUGGACGAUCUAUCCAUCCUUAAGUGGUAUUACCAGCCAUUCUGGAGGAGCAGUUGAUUUAGCAAUUUCUAGUCUUCAUCUAUCUGGUGUUUCAUCCAUUUUAGGUUCUAUUAAUUUUAUAACAACUAUAUUCAACAUGCGUGGGCCUGGAAUGACUAUGCACAGAUCAUCUCUAUUUGUGUGGUCCAUUCUAGUAACAGCAUUCCCACUUUUAUUAUCACUUUCGGUACUAGCAGGGGCAAUUACUAUGUUAUUAACCAAUCGAAACUUUAAUACAACCUUUUCUGAUCCCGCUGGAGGGGGAGACCCCAUAUUAUACCAGCAUCUCUUUUGUUUCUUCGGUCAUCCAGAGGUGUAUAUUCCCAUUCUGCCUGGAUCUGAUAUCAUAAGUCAUAUCGUUUUGACGUUUUUGGGAAAACGGAUUUUUGGGUAUCUAGGCAUGGUUUAUGCUAUGAUCAGUAUAGGUGUUCUUGGAUUUCUUGUUUGGGCUUAUCAUAUGUUUACUGUGGGCUUAGACGUUGAUACCCGUGACUACUUCACCGCAGCUACCAUGAUCAUAGCUAUCCCCACUGGAAUCAAAAUCUUUAGUUGGAUCCCUACCAUAUGGGGGAGUUCGAUACAAUACAAAAUACCCAUGUUAUUUGUUGUAGGUUUCAUCAUUUUAUUCACCAUAGGAGGACUCACUGGAUAGUUCUGGCAAUUCUAGGCUAGACAUUGCUCUACAUGAUACUUAUUAUGUCAUUGCACAUUUCCAUUAUGUACUUUCUAUGGGAGCCGUUUUUGCUUUAUUUGUAGGAUUUCACUAUUGGGUAGGUAAAAUCUUUGGUCGGACAUACCCUGAAACUUUAGGUCAAAUCCAUUUUUGGAUCACUUUUUUCGAGGUUAAUAUGAUCUUUUUUCCUAUGCAUUUCUUAGGGCUUUUAGGUAUGCCACGUCGCAUUCCAGAUUAUCCAGAUGCUUACGCUAGAUGGAAUGCCCUUAGCAGUUUUGGCUCUUAUAUAUCCAUAGUUGGGAUUUGUCGUUUCUUCGUGGUCGUAACAAUCACUUCAAGCAGUGGAAAGAACAAAAGAUGUGCUCCAAGUCCUUAGGCUGUUGAACAAAAUCUAACUACACCGGAAUGUAUGGUACAAAGUCCUCCAGCCUUUCAUACAUUUGGAGAACUUCCAGCUAUCAAGGAGACGAAAAGCUAUGUGAAGUAAAAGAAGAAAGGGUCGCCGAUUGCUACUAAGAACCUAACA